GUUUUUUUAUGGCCUGAGCCGCAGGAAUAAUUGUGUGUGUAUGUAUGGAUGUAUGGAUGUAUGUAUGUAUCCGUGUGUGCAUGUGGCGGCAAGGUGGGAGGGAGGAGUUGAAGAGUGGGGAUGAGAUGCACCCGCCGGACCAUACCCCCCCUCCCGCCCCUCCUACCCCCCCUCCUGCCCCUCCUACCCCCCCUCCCGCCCCUCCUACCCCCCCUCCAGGCUCCCGCUACGCCUCCCGCAUCGUGGCCAUUGAUUCGUGUGUUCAGCGGCGACCCCCCACCGCCCGGAUGUGUGCCGAGGACGCGGGAGUGGACCGAGUGGCCCAGCUGCUGCUCACUGACCAGGUGUGUGUGUGUGUGUGUGGGGGGGGGGGGAGCUUGGGGUUAGGGCGCCCGCCCGCGCGCGCGUGUAUGUCCGUAUAUGUAGAGGUGCGUGUGUAGGCGUGUGUUAAAAUAAUCUUAGGAUCACCACCGACGUCGCGUCCCUAGAAUUUGCCAAAGGACAGACAGAAAGAAGAAGUUGUUGUGGUGGUGGUGGUGGUGGAUUUCUUCCUUGUUGGAUGUUGUAUGACCUCUCCUUACCUGCACCUGCACUCCCACCUCCCCACCUCUACCACUCCCUCCUUACCUGCACCUGCACUCCCACCUCCCCACCUCUACCACUCCCUCCUUACCUGCACCUGCACUCCCACCUCCCCACCUCUACCACUCCCUCCUUACCUGCACCUGCACUCCCACCUCCCCACCUCUACCACUCCCUCCUUACCUGCACACCUCCCACCUCCCCACCUCCCCACCUCUAAUAACCUGACCCGAAAAGGACUUCACUUUGGGGCUGUUGCGGGGCAGUGUCCUGGCCCACAGCCCCCCCGCCCUGGCCGCCCUGGCCGCCGCACCCGCCAAGGCGGCGGAUGCCUUCCGACGCGGCUUCAGGGACUGCUUGCGACUUGUGGAGCGAAUCAAGGUGAACCAUGGAAGUGGGGGAAGUGGGGGAAGUGGGGGAAGGGGGGAAGACGAACCACGAGCGAGUGAAGGUGAUGUUGGAGGGGUAAGGGGGAAAUUCAUUUCCUGUUGUGCGUGUGUGUGUUUCUGUGUGUGAGGGAUGGGCGAAGGCGGGGCUUUCGCUUCCAGAGCUCUCGCUUAAAACAUUCUCCUACCAGGCACCUGCUACACACAAAACACCCAACCCCCCACACACGCAUACACACAUACACACACGUACGCAUAUACACACACGCAUAUAUACAGACACGCAUACAGCCGUUCCAUGUACAUCGCAAUCCCCCUCGGAUCCCCUCGGCAUAGGGCCUUCUAGAGAUGAUGUACAGCAAAAUGGACGAAUGGUCACUGGAGUUCAUAAAGGACAUAAAAGAGCUCCGACCCGAGCUGCCAAUACCCAAUCCCGCACCGCUCGGGGGACCUGGCGGCGGCGGCGGGCCGUGCUCCGUCGGCGGCGGCGGCGGCCGGCUGGUGGCGCAUUACGGCGGCCUGAACAUACGCGUCAGCCCGGCGCCGCUGGGCAGCAUCAGCGGCGGCGGCGGCGGCUGCGGCGGCAUCGGCGGCCGGAAUCGGUCGCAGCUAGGCUGGGCUGUUGGCGGCGCCGCCAGCGGCCACAACAGUGGCGUGGGUGAGUGGGUACGGCUGCUGUACUCCUGUACUGCGGCUGCAGUACAUUGCGGCAGUUGUACGACCACUUGCUUGCCUGGUCCCGUGCGCAGGCAGCCCCGCCCGCCCCAGGCCCUCGCUGUCCCCGUACCUCCCCAGCAGCGUCCGCGGUGCUUCGCGCAGCCGUAAUAGCUCCCUUGGCGGUGGCGGCGGGGGUGGCGGCGGAGGUGGCGGAGGUGGCGGCCUGACGGAGGCAACCAGAGGCAGGCCUCCGUCGGCGUUGCGCAGUCGCGGCAGCGCUGCAGGGGCAGCCGGCGCCGCCGCCCGCGCGUUAGCUGCCGCGGCUUGUGCCAUUCCUUCCGCUGCUGACGCCGGUGGCAGCGGUAGCGGUGGCGGCGGCAGCGGCACAGGCAGUGAUGCUCCGACCCUUUCAGGUCGGGGGGGGUCAGCCGCAGCCACGCCUAGCGAUUUCCAUGAUGGCGGUGGCGAUGUCGGCGGCGGUGGCGGUAACGCCCUGGGUAGGGUCGUACUAUCUCCAUUUGCGGCUGCGGGAGCUGAAGCGGCGGCAACGAGUAGCGGCGGUGGCGGCGGCGGUGGCGGUGGCGGUGGCGGCCAGAUCAACGCUGCCGCCGUCGCCGGGUCACCUGCGGGGGCCUUACGUCGUGCUCAGCAGGGCCAGCAGCAUCCGCGGCAUCCGCGGCAAGGCAGAGACGGAUUCGGCGAAGCGAUAUGCAGGACGCGGGAUAGUGGGGGCGGCGGCGGCAGCGGCGGCAGUGGAACGCCGUCGCCGGGUCGAUACCAAUCAGCACGUCAAACUCGACAGCAGCACCAGCAGCACCAGCAGCGCUCGAAGCGCUGUGGAUUGGGCCGAAGUCCGGUUAUCGCCGCCGUCGUUGCGGAAAAGCCGGAGUGGCUUGCCCGCAGUCCAUACCUGGUUUCUGGGCCCGGUAAUGGCGGCGGCGGCGGCGGCAGCAGUGGCCUUGCCGCUAUGGCGGGCCGCUGUCCCGCCUUAACCCCGCCCGCCCCGUUAAGACGCUGCGGCUCGCUCAGCGUCUCUUCUCGUUCCGCAUCCGUCUCCGGCGCUAACAGCAGUAGCAGUAACAGCAGUAGCAGCAGCGGCAGCGGUAACAGCGGGAAGAGCUGCGUUACCACUGAUGCCACAUCCGCCACAGAGUUGGGGCAGGGAAAAGGCGGUAAGGCGGCGGUGCCGUGCAGGACUGGAGCAACGCCGCAGUCGCGCCUGGCGGCGGCGGCGGCAUCGGCGGCAGCCGGGCCCCCAGUCGCCGCCGCCGCCGCUGGGGGAACGCCGUCGCCGUCAUCAAACCUCGGUAAACCGCGUCUACCCCGUAUUGCAGCGCUAUCGUCUCCGAUGGCGCCGUACAGUGACAAUGACGCCGCCGUUGCCCUGGCGGCAUCGACGCCGCUGAGCCGUCGUGUUACGGACGUGCACGGCGCCGCCGCCGCAACGGACGUGCACGGCGCUGCAGUAGUGGGGAUUCCACCGCGGCGGCUAACCGCGGCGUGUGACGCCACCGUGUAUCAUCGGUCUGGCGGCGGCGGCGGCGGCGGCGCUGACAGAGCAGCGGCGGGCCGUUCUGUGGGCGGGUCGCCGAUGCCUACGGCGCUGCGCCUUCGGAGUCUUGGGCUCGCCAGCGGCGGCGGCAGCGCCGCCGCUGCCACCACGGCCGCUGUACCCUCCGCUGCCAGCGGCGGCGGCGGCGGCGGCGGCAGCGGCAGUAUAACGCCUUGCAUGCGGCACAGUCGCAGUUUGGGCCUUAUACGCUCCCCGCGACUCGCCUUCCGCAACACAAGCUCACCACGCAGGUUGUUGCCCAGCCCCGCAACGCCCAAAUUUCGGUCUCCCCUCCUCGAUCCGAUGCCGCUGCUAUCGGCAUCGUCAUCGCCAGCACACGAUAACGGCGGCGGAGCGACGAGCGCGAACAUGACCCUUCACGGAGUGUACUGCAGCGACGGCGGAGCCACGAGUGCCGUAUCCGCCUCGGCCGUUGUCGUGUCGACUACUUUACAGUCUCCAACGGCGAAGGCCGCCAUUCAUGCCCCAGCUCUCCGUGCCCAUCAUUCCCUGCCCUCUGAGUACUUGACGGCGGCGGCGGCGGCGGGUCCGCUGAUAACGUCGGUGAUGACGGCAUCGAAGCCGCCGCUACCGCGCGCAGGCUCCCAUCGCACACCACUGGGCUCAGCUGUAACGUCAGCCGGCGGUGGCGGCGGCGGCGCUGGCGUCGCUGUGCCGUCGACCACUGUGCCGCCGCCGUCGCCCGCGACGGGGCCGAUUCACGUACAUGCGCCGCCGCCGCCGCCGCUGUGUCCGGGAUCCCAGGAUCCGUUACCGGGGGAGGACGGACGCCCGCUGGCCGCUGCGGCGGCCGGCGCCAGCACAGCAGCAGCAGUAGUACGAGGACAGGGCCUGGAGCGGCUUACGGAGUCACCGCCGUGUCUUGCAUCGCUUGGAAUGCGACGCUCCGCCGACGGAGGCGCCGCCGCCAACGUAACUAACCCCGCCGCCACCGCCGCCGCCGCCACCGCUUCGACGAGCAACAGCCCCUUGGGACACUUGUGCAGGCGGCGGCAUUCAGACCAAGAAGAAGGCCCACCGCUGCCGCCGCCGCCGCCACCGCCACCGCAGCAAGGUCACGUCUUUCAGGGCAUGGUUCCAAACCCGGACGUUACGGCGUCAGAUAACAGCACGCCGACAAUCGGGGCCACCUCGAGAGCCCCGUCCUUAGGCGGCCCCGCGACGCCGUUCUACUUCCAUACCGCGGCGGCGGCGGUGGCGGCGGCGGCGGCGGCCCCUGACGCCGCGGCGCCCGUCUCCCCGCCGUUGCUGUCCCACGCUUCCGGUUCCGGACUCAUGUCUAGCUGUGUGACCUGUACCCCGCCCACCGUCGCCUCCGUCGCGGCGUCGUCAACGGCUUCGCCGCCGUUGCGGUCGUCACCGCUGUCCCGUACGCCGCCAUCGUCGUCGUGCACGCCUACCUCCGGCGCUGCCGGCGGCGGCCGUACGACAACAACUGCCGUAUCCACCACCACUGCCACCGCCAGCCCAGCCAGCGCGCUCUCCGUGAAGUCUACAGGCGCAAACGCGACGGCGAAACGGAAUAGCGGGGGAGGUCGCGUCCGCGCCGUCUCCGCCGCCGCUGCCAGUGGCGGCGGAGGCGCUGGCGUCGCGUCUCGGCUUCUGUACGGCGGGGGCAGCCGGGGCACCCCCGGCGGUCUUGGGCGUACAGUCAUGGCCAGGGGCAGCCCUUCUAAAGUCAAUCCGUACGACCAGGUAGUGACGUCAUCUAUGGUCAUCUGUGGAGAGGGUCGGUGGUUUCGGACCGCAUACAACCUGUGGUCUCGGAGCGGGCCUUAAGAGCUAUAACAGUGACAUACAAAGGGACGCUUUUUUCAUCAUUUGCCUGUUAAUCUUAAUGCAUCCGUACAUUGGGUUUCUACCAAAACUUCCUUUUGAAUUUUGCUCCUUUCUAAUUCCCUAAUAAUUCUACCUACCUCGGCACACGAUGGCACAUACAUACAUACAUACGCGCACAGAGACACACUCACACACAGAAGACCACAGAAGACACACAAAUACACACAUGUGCGCGCACCCCCCCCCCUUUUGUCCCUCCUCCCCCCCUCCAGCAGUUCAAAUCCGACAUGAGUUUGACUUUGGCCCUCAAGAGUAUCACCAGCGAGGCGAGGAAGGACGACCUCCUCAGCAACCGAGUCCAGCACUGGAAAGAGCUCUUCAGGUGCCAUGCCGUACAUUACCCUGGCUGUCGUACACUGGGCGGGGUGUUACAUAACUUUUUCAGCCUGGGCUUCGGCUUAGUUGUUUUUGAUAUUCGGUCUCGUAUAUCGCAUCUCUGGAUUUGGAUUUCCUGUUUUGGAUUCGAUUGGGCAGCGUGAAGGGGGGGGGUUACGUAUUUGGCGGUGCGGGGGACGCGCGGGGGAUGUUGGGUAGGGGAUGGGUUUUCUCCGAUACGUUACAUAUAGACGGACAUACUGCAUUACAUUAUUACAUCGCAACCGCUUAACAAAACCCUCACCCUCCCUUCUUUACAAGCGCCGACUGGUCAGUUAUGCCUUCCUCUCACUUCUGGCGCAUCAGUCUUUCCUCGGCAUAUCACCUUCACUCGUUCACGUGGUUCAUCCCCUAACCCCUUCACCCCUCAUCAUCUCCCGUCCAGGGCUCGCGGUGAGGAGCUUAAGGCGGCGGUGGGCGAGUGGCAGAGCCGUCACCGUCUAGACAAGGUGCUGACCACGGGCUUCCUGGACGGCACACACCCCAUCGUGGAUAUGUACGAGCUGAAGGUGGGGGGGAUUUGCGGGGGAGAUAGGAGGGAAGGAGGGGGGGCGGGGUUUGGAGGGGAAGGGGGGGGAGGGAAGGCCGGGUUGGGAGGGAGGGGAAAAAGGGUUUUGCCUGCUUUGACUGCCGUACCAUGCCGUACCAUGCGGUACCAUGCCGUACCAUGCCCUGCAGGUUCGUUUGGAGCACAUGUUGCGGCGGCUGCAGGUGUUGCAGGAGGCGGCGGGGGCUGAGAAGCCCAGUGCAGUGCUGACGGGCCCCGGGGGGGCGCUGUUCCUGGGGGGCGCGGUGGCAGCGGACUCGCACCACAUCCUCCGACAUCUGGGCAUCUCUCACAUCGUGAACGCCACGGAGGUCGGUGGGGUGGCGCGUGUGUGUAUGUGUAUGUAUGUAUGUAGGUAGGUAGGUAGGUGGGUACGCGUAUGUAUGUAUGUAUGCAUAUACGCGUGUGUGUGGGGGGGGGAGGGGAAAUAGAGAAUAGGUUUGCGCUCCAUAACUGCAAACCAGCGAAAGCCCGUCUCCAGCCAGACCCCCCCCACCCCACCCACACACUUCGACUCCCUUUUUUAUACACAGCACACACACACAUACACACACACACGCACACACACAUACACACACUUUCCCCCUCCUGCACCCCACUCGCCUCAGGAGCUGCUGCUUCCCGACCCCUCCGCCGGUUUCCGGGUACUCCGCGCGGCAUUGCGCGACGUGGACGACGAGGACAUCUCCCGACACUUCGACGAUGUUUGCAAGUUCAUUCAGGCGAGCACGCGGUUUUUUUUUUUUUUUGUGUGUGUGUGUGUGUGUGUGAGAGAGUGUGUGUGUGUGUGUGAGAGAGUGUGUGUGAGAGAGUGUGUGUGUGUGUGAGAGAGUGUGUGUGGGUGUCUUGGGUUUUGCCUUAGGGUUACCUUUACCCCUAUCCCCGUGGAACCUUAACCCCCCAUCGGUGUGCUUCGGACGGCUUGCUGUCGACUGGGCGGUCGGGUGGCCGUCAGUGGUGUUCUUUGCACCGUCAUCAUCAUCGUACGAUUCCCCUCCACCCACCCAACCACCUCCGAAAACCCCACACAACACACCGCCCGGAUUUUCUUCACCUCCCUCCAACUCCCCCAACCCCACAUACAUACGUACAUACAACCAACCUCGCCUCGCAGUCCUGCCACGCCGCCGGCGGCAGUGUGUUGGUGCACUGCUCCGAGGGCAAGAGCCGCUCCGUAACCCUGGUGCUCGCCUACCUGAUGAAGGGACGGGGAUGGAGGCUCAAGGCCGCCUUCGACCACGUGAAGUGGGUGGUCUGGGUUGGGUGGUGGUGUGUGGGGUGUGAGGUGUGGGGAGGCCGGGAAGGGUGGGGGAAGCAGGGGGGGAUGGCGGGAUAUACCACCACGCGGAGGGUUAGGUGGGUUGCGAUGCGUGCGUAUUUCGUGCCUGUGUGUCUGUGUCUGUUUGUAUGUAUGUAUGUAUGUGUAUGUGUGUGUGUGUCAUUGAUCUGGGCGUGAUGCUGACCAGAGGCGCCUAACAGAAUCCCACACCAACCCCACCUACACGUGCCCCCGUCUUCGCCCCCUCGCUGUGUGCGUGUGUGUGUGUAUGUGUGUGUGUGUGUGUAUGUGUGUGUGUAUGUGUGUGUGUGUGUGUGUGUGUGCACACAGAUCUUGUCGACCUGUGGCUUGCCCCAACGCUGGAUUCAUGGCGAAGCUGCUGUCGUACGAACGGGACCUUUACGGCAACAACUCGUACAUCCCACAGCAACUCAAAAAGGCCAAGCCGGAUCCCGUCAUGUGCCCGGUGUGCGGCGCGGCGGUAGGCAUCAGUUCCGCCAGCCUUGCCGUACAUCUCAAGAGAGCGCAUCCGCUCCAACAAGAUGCCGCCAGCGGUGGCAGUUCCGCGGCGCCGCUAGGGGCCUUCGGUGCUGCCUCUGCCGCCGCCGGCGGCGAUGUACCGCAUUCGCAUGUACGACUGGGAACAGGCACGCGGCAGGCGGCGGCGUCUGGGUUGAGGCGCGUGGGCAGUGAUGAUACGACGGCGCCGCCGCCGUCAGUGCGAGAACAGGACGAGCAGCUGCUGCUGCGGCAGCGGUGUCGUGACGUUGGCGGCGGGGCGAGGGGCCCUGAUGAAUGGGACACGAUAGCACCUGAGGCCGAUGAGCAGGUUGCGGGUACGGUAAUUGUGGCGGCGGUGGCGGCGGCGGAGGGGGGGGCAAAGGGCGAUAAGAAGGACGGUCACCUUCAUCUGGUUCCGGAGCACCCCCCCUUGCCAGGGCACCAGGCGGGGGCCUCAGUGCAAAGGGGGGGGGUAAGGGGGGAGUAUGGGGGGAGAAUCUGAGUCGUUAGCGUGCGUGUGUUCACCCGCUAGCGGGGUGUGACGUGUGGGUUUGUAGUACACAAUGAGACGCACCACAGGUUGCCUGUUAUACCUUCGUCGUGCAUGUGCGCGUCUUGUCGCCGUGUGUGUGUAUGUAUGUAUGUAUGUAUGUAUGUAUGUAUGUAUGUAUGUAUGUAUGUAUGUAUGACUUAUGUAUGUAUGUAUGUAUGUAUGAGAGAGGGAGGGAAGGAGAGGGAGAGGUGGAGCAUGCAUAUAUAUGUGUGUGUGUGUGUGCAGCUUGGUGAGCUCUAAUGAUCUGGGCCGCGACGGGGGAACUGGCGAUGGUAGUACAGAUGUACGAGUGCACUCACUUACAAAUAGUUUAAAGCUAACCGGGUGUGUGUGUGUGUGUGUGUGUGUGUGUGUGUGUGUGUGUGUGUGUGUGUGUGUGAGAGAGGUGCGUGCGGGUGUUGCGGAUUGCGUCAUCCUGUAUGUUUGUACUUUGUGCGAAAAUAGUUAUAGGGAGAGGAAGUGAGAAGAGUGUCGACUUGUUGCGUGUUGCAAUUUUUUGUUCGUUGAUUCUCCCCUCGGAAGAACUUUGUGAAAGGCGCUUGUUGUUUCGGGGGCUGUUGUGUGCGUGGCGGCGCAUGUGUGCGCUCGGUGUAGGUCGGAGUCGGGCCCCCGCUCUGUUCUCUUUGAUACGUUUGAUACACUCUUGCCCUGGCAGCAGCUUCAAUCGUGUGUGGUUCGUCUUUCCCCCCUCUGUUCUCUUCUGCUGCCGCUGCCGUGUGUGCAGCAUCAGAGUACCCUUUUGCUUCGGCGGCUCUCAUCUUAUAGCCCGCGCUACAGCUUGGUUGGGGCGAGGCUUCCAAUCUUAGCUUGUUUGCUUGUAUGUAUGUGUGCACCCCUGAAAGUUUCAAGCUCCGGGACUCACGGACAGGGAUUCAGCUUCCAGUGUCCACUCCUUCGCCGAAGUGCAUGCGACAACAAUCUCAAAACUUUUACUAGAGAGAUACUUUAACAACAAGUUGUACAGCAGACUCAUUUUUGGGCGGGGCCCCAGCGCGAAGCGCCCAGGGGGGCCCCGACCUGUAGGAUUGCCUAUGUCCGUGUGUGUGUGUGUGUGUGUGUGUGUGUGUGUGUGUGUGUGUGUGUGUGUGUGUUCGUGUGUGUGUAACGGACCAAACAUAAUAUCUCGCCCGGCUGAAACGCGUUAUAGGUACUAUACAGCAUUCUCUAUUGCAAGGUAUCUCGCAUGUAGCCAACAAAAGUCGUAUGAGCACAAACAAGUUUGGCUGCCUCCAUUCACCGACCUCAAAAGUCACAUCAACGCCUCUCGGGCUACAUUUAAUCUCAAAAGGUACCGCGUAUCUCAUAAUUGAAUUCUGAGAUGACAGCGUAUGAUAAUUUGAACACCCAGCUUGUUGCCCGCACGGGCAUUCCGACUUGCCACCAGCAGGCCGACAAAUUUGCUUACAUUUCUCUAUGAAAUACGCAAGCUGCUCAUUUGUACAUUUCCUUAACCAAUGCUCGGGGCCUCCGGAGACUUGCGGUGUGCCCCGAUGAAGCUCUCGGCUGUGGGGCGGAUUGCUGAGGCCGCUGGCGCAUCGGGGAUAAACAUCACAGACAGCACCGAAAUACACCCAGCUUUCGUUACCAUUUGCCCGCAUGGGCAUUCCGACUUGCGGUCUGCCGCAGUGUCCAUGCGGCAUGCACCCGGGAUGGAUGCGAUUCGCGUGGAGCCCGCAGGCGUUGCUGACGAUUCCACCGAUGCAAGCUUAGCUCCCACACCAUCAGCACUGCUGCAACAAAGCACAUCUCCCACCGCGUUGACACUACCCAUCAAUUGUCACACGUGCCGCACUAGCUACCGGCCUGUACGGAUGCAGGGGGCCCCGCCCUUUUUCCGGCUUCGAGGAAGCCGACACCCGACUUGUCACAGCUGGCUCAGGGUACAGGGGGAUCUAACAGGGGGCUCUCGGCCGCGCGGCGGCAGGUCCUCUCUCUCCCACCAGGGCAGGGGCAUAGGCACCACACACGGCAAUUCGUAUCCGAGGGCUACUUCCCCGCUGACACAGCUUCUCUCGCGGAAUUUUCUCCCGCGGCGGUGUCAUAGGAUAUCUUUCUGGGGGCUGCAAAGGGAAAGGAAACUCAAUCUACAAGAAAUUUGCAAGACUUUGCCUAGGGUAGCGCUUUUGCUGUACUAAGACGACAUGAGUAAGAGGUCUAGCGGGUCUGGGCUCGCAUCCCCGAGAAGCGAGAAUAUCCCACGUACUGGGUUCUCAAACCUUACAAAGAGGGAGCGCUUCAUGUCGUCGCUGGGUGUUUCCAAGAACUUUCCCUAUUGUUUCAAUUGGAUGAGCGGCGCGGACUCCCCAAGAGUUCAAGGACUCGAUGCCGAUACACUGAAGUUCAUUUUGGAGUUCCUCAGCGCGCCCAUCACUCUAUUUCUGAAAAUUGUUCUACACCCAUCCAAUCGGGAGUUCCCCCGCUAUCUCCUGUUCUACUCGAUCCUGUCCCANNNNNNNNNNNNNNNNNNNNNNNNNNNNNNNNNNNNNNNNNNNNNNNNNNUUAUCUCCGCAUCCGGUGCGGAGCUGUUGAUUGCCGCGAUGCGGAGAUAACCAGUGAAGCUUGGUCGAAACCUAGCAGUGCCAGCUGGGACAGGAUCGAGUAGAACAGGAGAUAGCGGGGGAACUCCCGAUUGGAUGGGUGUAGAACAAUUUUCAGAAAUAGAGUGAUGGGCGCGCUGAGGAACUCCAAAAUGAACUUCAGUGUAUCGGCAUCGAGUCCUUGAACUCUUGGGGAGUCCGCGCCGCUCAUCCAAUUGAAACAAUAGGGAAAGUUCUUGGAAACACCCAGCGACGACAUGAAGCGCUCCCUCUUUGUAAGGUUUGAGAACCCGGACACUCAGGGAGCAGGAGUCAGGCCUUAACCUCUGCCAGCCGCCUGCCUUAAAAUAAACUGUAAACGUGCAAACUGUAACUGUAUGAACUGUAACUGUAUAAACUGCAACUUUAAACUGUAAUGGUGUAAAAUGCAACUGUAUAAAACUGUAAAUGCAUACAGUUUAAAUGUAUAAACUGAAAUGUAAACCCACUCCCCCUCCGCACAAUCUGCCCCCCCAUAUUCCUAGUUCACCUUUCCCCCCCCCCCCGAAACACAAACACACACACACGUUGCCUCAUCAGGCUAUGCUCCAAUCCGCCUUCCGAGUCACGCUUCCCACCACGGGUGCCCAUGUACGGCUGCGAGUUGGCCUUCACAGCGGCCCGGUCGUCAGCGGCCUUGUGGGCACCCGCAUGCCGCGGUUUUGUCUGUUUGGCGACACCAUCAACACCGCCAGUCGCAUGGAGAGCACCGGCGUGGCGGGCUGCAUACACGCCAGCGACAGCGCAUUUGAGCUGCUGCGCGGCCUCGUGGAGGCGGAGGGCGGGUGGGCGGCCACGGGCGGCAUCGAGGCGAGCUUUGGGCGGUGGAACUGGCGGAGGUUUUAAGGUUUUAGGGUUUUAGGUGAUUUGCGGGGUUGGGUUUUGGGGUUUUGUUAGACCGGUUUCAUUAGAUCGUGUUGGACCUUUUGGUGAUGUGUUUGUUGGCGGUGAGGAGCGCCUUCCCUUCUCCCGAUUGUGUACGAUUUUAUCGUCGUAAUAGGUGAAGGGGAAGGGACUGAUGCAGACACAUUUGUGGACGCCGCCGCCACAACCUCCGUUGCCGAUGACGACGACGGCGACGACAACACCUAUGAUUUGAAUUUCGAGAGAAUGAGGGAGCGAGGGAGGGAAGGAGGGUUAUAGAGGAGGUUGGUUGGUUAAAAACAAAUAUGGCAUGUCAUGCUUGGCUUUGCGUGUUUUUUGUGGGCUCGUACUUGACGUACGGGAGCGCCCCCAGAGUGCCGUACCCGUUGCUGCCAAAGAGCUGCGAUGGCCCCCAUGGUGUUUUCCCACCUGCCGCAACCCCGCGGUCCGUAACGCCGUACAUACGUCGUACUAGGUAAGCUUUUUGCUGUCGGUGACGCGGUGGUCCAUUCAUGGUUGGUGUUUCCUUUCUGUACUUCUUUUUCUUCAGCGCGAGGUCCAGGGGGGGGGUUCGAAGGCACAUGGUGAGGGCUGUACGACGACUCGUCAUCCACUGGUGGCUUGGAUUCGUUCAGGUACCUGUGCAUGGCCGGUUGGUCGGUUGGAUGGUCGGUUGGAUGGUUGGUUGUGGCAACAAUAAUAUUAUUAACGGCAACGGUACUGCAGCAGUAGCGUGUGGAACAUCGUUCUAGCGUUACACGCACGAACUCUGCAUCGAAGAUUUCAAGAAAAGUCAUAUGGCGAUAUGAUGUUUAGGACAGAUACAGAUACAGUGGACCAUGGCACAGCCACGCCAAGAUAUAGGGAGCUUAAGGCGAAAUCAUAAGGUAAUUUACGUAUGACAACAUCCCUUUCGUUUAGCCCAAGUCAGUAAGGAUUGUUUUUGGGUUUAUUUAGGUUCGUUCAACGAGAACUGCCUCGCAAACCGAAAUUAACCGCCACUGCUGCUAUUAUGGGGGUAGCUGCCGUUACCACUCCAGACGCCAACGAUGAUGAAGCUGACGAUGAAGUCGCUCAGACCCCCGCAAGUGGUCAGUGGCACAAACACAAGCAGUUCACGCUCCCGGCCAUACUCCAGCCACAUACCACACCACUACGAACCUGAGCACACCUCAUCACUCGUCACGCAUCUCACAAACAAAUGCAUCGCAGUCGCAACCCCAUGCCCCGACAGAAGAACCUCCACCGCUCGGCCCCACACUACAAGAUCUACAAACACUUCCUCACCCGCACAUUCAACCUGCCCAUCGCCAUUAAACCCCGUACCUGCCUCUGCCCUAAUCCCAUCACACCGCCGCCAGCAGCCAUGAAACACCCGAUUCAGAACCCUAUCCUCUUAAUAUCCAACAGCACCUCCUACUCCAUGGGAAGGUUCCUGCUGACAUCAUGCAGGAUACCCUACCAGAGCUGCUGUAUGAGUCGUACAUGACUAUUCGCUACAAUGCAGCUCAUGCACACCACAUCACCAUUGUAGACCUUCCUGCUCUUGUUGCUACUGCUGCCAUUUGAGGGCCUUCAUGGCUUCUUUCAUAUCCUUCAAUGCCCGCUUCGCAGCCUCGGCCCUUUGCUCCGCAGCCUCCCGCCUCUGCUUCUCAGCCUUCUUGCUUGCCUCGCUCCGCUGCCUCCCGCCUCUGCUUCUCAGCCUUCUUGCCUCGCUCCGCAGCCUCCGCCCUGGUGUCAGAGGUGUCGGCAACGGAUUCUUUGCGGCUACUGGCGACAGUGGGAGGGGAUUAGGGCAGGCAGGUACGGGAUUUAAGGUGAUGGGCAGGUUGAAUGUGCGGGUGAGGAAGCGUUUGUAGAUCUUUUGAGUGGUGGAGGUUCUGCUGCCGGACUUCAUAAGCUCCGGACUUUGCAGGGGUUGCAAUUGCGAUGCAUUUGUUUGUGAGAUGAGUGACGAGUGGUGAGGCGCGUGGUGUGGUAUGUGGCUGGAGUAUGGCCGCGAGGGUGAACUGCUUGUGUUUGUGCCACUGACCACUUGCGGGGGUCUGAGCGACUUCAUCGUCAGCUUCAUCAUCGUUGGCGUCUGGAGUGGUAACGGCAGCUACCCCCAUAAUAGCAGCAGUGGCGGUUAAUUUCGGUUUGCGAGGCAGUUCUCGUUGAACGAACCUAAAUAAACCCAAAAACAAACCUUAAUGACUUGGGUAUACGAAAGGGUUUUGUCAUUUUUAAAUUUCCUUAUGAUUUCGCCUUUAGCUGUGACGACGUUUGGCUUGAGAGGGGAGAGACGAUCCUUGGGUGACCAUAGUAAGUAUUGGCCUUGGCACCGUACGGAUCGGGAUGCACUCGUUAUCAGCUGAUCGGAGGAUAGCGGCGCAGCGGCAGGCUAGUCUUUAAACUUGCACUGUUGCUGCUUCCGACUGGAGUUGCACUAUGCUUAUCAGCAGCGCAGACACAAAGUUGAAAUCAUGAAUGAAUACGGUAGCGUGGAUGCUUACUUUCUUACCGCAUGCUGAUGAACCAUUAUAUAAUCUCUUCUGGUUUUACGUAUAAGGUCAUUAUUGUAUAAUUACGGUGUCGUUACUUUAAACCGAGAAACGCUGGUCUGCAAGUUUCGUUUCGCGAUGUCGUUCGAUUGUAACACCACUUGCCCUCGACCUAAUUGCGCCGGCGGGAAUGGAACAAAUGACAACAGUGCAACUGACCAACAGGUCGUUCUAUAGACCUGCACUCUGCCCAGAGAAAGGAAUGCCAGAUGCGCCACCGAUAUGUUGCUUCGCUUGGCGAUGAGAUUAUCCACAGGUACUUGAGUGUUUAUAAAUUCAUUAAAUACUAUGACCUCCUUUCAUAUGCAGGCGACCAUAUUUACCAGGGCUGCCAGCCUGGCCUCAGCAGCCCUGCGCCUCAGCCACACGUUGUCGGAGGGCGCUGCGGAGGGAAUGCUAAACAUGUGCCAGAAUAUAUACGAAUUAUUGCGACCCGCUGUACGACAGCGUACGGAGCCAUACCCCGAGGACCUUACUGGCAAGGUGCAGCUCGGUACUGAGUUCAAAGCCAUAGAAUGGCGUCACGACCUUACGAUCACUUGUCGCUUCCCACACAAUUCAUUCCCCUCAUGCGCUUCCCACACAAUUCAUUCCCCUCAUGCGCUUCCCACAAUUCAUUCCCCUCAUGCGCUCCCCACAAUUCAUUCCCCUCAUGCGCUCCCCACUGCAAUUAUUUUGGGCUACCAGCAGUGGACCUGGUGGCCCAUCUUUCGUAUCUCACCCUCCUCCCUCUUUCCUCUUUUCCACCUUCCUCUUUAAAAAAUAUGUCUAGGUGGCCAUCGUGACGGGCGGCAAUGCGGGCAUCGGCUUCGCGACCGCUCAACAACUGGCUCGGCGCGGGGCGCAUGUCGUACUGGCGUGCAGGGAUAAGGCCCGCGCGGAGGCGGCAGUCCAGGUAAGCUCCCACCGAAUGGGUAUCAACAUAACAUUACAUUACAUUACAGCGACCUACCAGGAGCAAUCAGGAGCAAUAGACAAUCGGUAUACGGCGGGAAAUGGCGAUAAUGCGGUAAAGAAAUGAAAACCCAAAAGCAUGUGUGUUGGUAAGCACGUUUAAGCUCUAUUUAUGUAGUCUUUUAAGCCAUCCCAGCCUUAGGCCUUAGGCCUUAGGAAAGGCGCUGCUGCUGUUUGCCCGUAUCACAUGUAUUUGCAGCAAUGACCCGUGGGUCAUUCUGGGUCGUUGCUGGCUGUUGUAGGAUAUCCAUAUCCGUGGGUAACAUGGCCUAUGCCCCGAUAUGCGCUUUUAACUAACUGCGCUCUACUCAAGUAACUGGUUUGGCUGUCCAGCGUGGCUUCAAUCCUUCCCGAACUGCCCUUCCGACAGCCGGCAAGUAAUCAUUUCCUUCUUGCAUAUAUAACCCCCCCACGCCCUUUUUCCCCUCCGUCAUCUCCGUCGUCAUCUCCGUCGUCAUCUCCGUCAUCUCCAUCUCCUGCUGCACGCGAAUUCACCCCCAGGCCAUUGCACAUUGGACACCAGCUCUCCCAGGAUGCGGCCCCAAGGCAACUGCCACCGCCUCAGCUUCCGCCGACCACAGCCCCACCGGCAUUCGGUCCUCCGCCGACCCCGACUGCUCUCCUCCUCUUCCUCUUCCUCCUCCUGCUGUUACCGCUGCUGCUGCUCCUCUUCUGAGUGUGGAAUCCAUGGAUCUGGAUUUGGGUCGGCUGUCAAGUGUACGGAGCUUUGCGGAGGAGUGGCGGCGCAGGGGCCUGCCCCUCCAUCUGCUGGUGUGCAACGCCGGGGUGAUGGCGCCGCUAGAAAAGACGUUGACAUCUGACGGGUUGGAGGUGCAGUUCCAGGUGUGUGAUAUUUCGUGUCACUGUUGCUGCUGCUGCUGCUGCUGCUGUUGCUGCUGUCCUUUUCGUCACCUGCUCCUCCUCCAGCCCCUCACCGGGUCAUGUGUCCUGUGAGGCUCGAAGCGGCCCUCGCGCCCCGUGUCAGACCCUGCAGCCCCAAACCCGAGCUUUUCCCGUUUGUAUCCUUUUAAUGUACCGGAGGAACAAUGUACGAACUUAACUAACUUAACUAAUCUUAGGAAUCUCCCCUCUCCCACGAUCCCACGCACCCACCAAAACCCCCCUGUGGUCCAAAUGUAGGUCAACUUCCUUUCCCACUGGCUGCUGACACACUUGCUGCUGGACCAUGAACGGGAGAGGCGCCGCGAACAGCAGCAUGCCACGACGUUGAUGGCCGCCGCCACGGCAGCAGCAGCAGCAGCAGCAGCAGCAGGAAAAACACCUAAAGCAGCAGCAGCAGCAGGAGAAGCAGGGAAGCCGUGUACAAGCAACUGUAGCGGGGGUGGGGCUUGUGGCGACGCUAUCCUGGAUAGGAAAGACGGGAGUUGCAAUCCAGCAGCGGGAGCUGUACGAACGCCACAGAGCGCCUCAUCCACCCGUGUGGUUAUUGUUAGCAGUGUCGUACACCGGGCGGGAGUACUGCAGUGGAGCGACUUGCUGAGUCAGCGGAGGUGCGUCACAACAACACGCAUUUGAGGGUUUUUUGGUGUGUGUGUGUGUGUGUGUGGAUGGGGGGAAUGUCUUAGGGUUUUGUGUUAGGGUUUGAAGGUUAGCUCGCAGGAGGGCCGAUCAUUGAAUGGAGAUUUGUUUGCCGUAGAGCUUGCUGUGUGUUCGUGUUUUUUUGUGAUGUAUGUAUGUGUGUCGUUAUGUCGCUUUCAUCUAGAAUUUUUACUUGAUGAUGUUUGCGGCUGUUCCGAUGAAUGCUGUGUAGUAAAUAAAGCAUUUUAAAUAUGAUACUAAGCAAUUUAUCAAGGUAUCAGCUGUUUGGUACCAAUUUGUUGCGCUUGCGCGAGAGACCUGGAUUAAACUAAUAAAUUCUUUAAUUUUUAAAUUACGGUGUGGGCCUGGGGGCCUGACGGGCCACCCAGGCCUCUGCCAGUGCAACACGGAGAGGAAGUUUUUUUACACAAAUUAAACUACUUGCUACCUCCGUCUCCCCUGACUCUCGGCAUCGUUCGUCGUACAGAGACCUUUUAAAUCUUAUCCCUCGGCCCCCUGCAUUGCAGCUAUGAGCCGUACAUCACGUACGGCCUAUCCAAACUUGCAACGGUCAUCUUCGCCAAGGAAUUGCAACGAAGACUCGACCGGUCUGUGGAAUUUCAAGAGUGUGUGUAUAUGUGUGUAUAUGUGUGUGUAUGUCUGUGUAUGUAUCGAUCCGGGCCUGACGCUGGCCAGGGGCACCUAACCGUACCCCAACGGGAACGACACCGCCGAAGCACUCCAUCAUUGGAGAGGCGUUACAUCGGUCAGAGUCCUAACCGUUCUCCCUCAUCAUCAACGCAAGGCGCCGUCACCUGUUCGAAUCCUCCAGCCAGCUACAUACACCAGAUCAGAUGCCAAGCAACCCCUCCGCUCCACCGAAAGCGCAUGCUCUACAGCUGCGCGAUGAUCUACCAAUAGCUGCACCCACACCGGUGCCGAUCACACCACACCUAUCCUUGCGAAUCCUGCCGCCGCGCGGUUUCGUUAUCCAACCACCAUCGGGUAUACAGCCCCUGGUCCAGGCCCUAUGUAUAUAAAUGUGCAUGUAUGUGUAUGUCUGUGCAUGUGCGUUUGUAUUAUUUGUAUCUUCGUGGUCGCUUCGCCCGCGUGUGCGUUUUAUCGCGUGCCUGUUAGUAGCCCCGGAGGAACCAGAUCCGGAGCCCUCCGUGUACGACACUGCCGUACUUCUCCCGCAUCACCCUCUUCCUUACUCUUCAACGUCUAAAGCCUUCGAACUUAUGCCUCUUCCCCCGUUUCCUUGUUUCCGUUUUCCUUUCCAAGUAAGUGGUUUAUUUGUUCAAAUCUCCACCAACACCGCAACAACCGAACGGGUUCUUUCCCCUGCACCUGGUGGUACCUGGUAGGUGACUGGGAGGACGUUCCCACUACACCCCACGCACGUCUCCACAGGCACCCCGAGUACGGCUUGUACGACACUGCCGUAGCGAUCCAUCCGGGCAUCGUCCGUACGAACCUGGCAAACGGCUUCUUCCGUACGUACACGUUGAGUUCGGUGGCGGGAACCCCCCUGGAGCCGCUUCGAGGACUGUGGCAACGUGCUUGGGACAAGGUGUGCGCCGGAAGCAAAAAAAACACACACCGCAUUCCAUCCGCUGCGUUACCCACAGAGCUGUGCGCAAAGCCCAGCAGAACACGGAACACGUAAUUGGGUUUCCUCCCCUAAAGGGGAACGAAGGGGGAUGCCGCCCAGAAUAAUUAACACGAAAAAAAGCAAUCUCACUUUCAAAAGAGUUUAUAUGCUGUCAAUUGCACAACCAGAAUUAGUGAUAAAAAAAACUUUCAAAUUUAAAUUAUUAUUAUUAUUAUUAUUAUUAGAACUAUAUAAUACUGCAUUAAUCUUCUCACAACCGUGAUGAUUUCCCCUUGCGUGCGUCUGCAAGUAUGUAUGUCAUUAGCUGUACGAGUCAAAUACUUACGACAGUAUGAGCGGACGAGGCGCUGCGUGUACGUGUACUUUCCUGUAAAUGUACGUACAUCCAUUUGAGGGAUUUUAAUCUUCCCGCUCUCCUGUUUGACCCUUGGCCCUUUCCCCCGCCCCCCUCCUCCUCCGGGUCUCUUCAAUUUGUGCCCUCGGGUCGGGUCGAGUCGGGUCGGGUCGCUCGUGUACCUCUCCUUUCCGGCCCCAACCGCGGUGUUCAACCCCAGGCCGGUCAGGUGCUUCUGACCUCUCCAGCCCAGGCCGCUGAGCGCAUGUUGGCGGCGUGUCUGGCCCCCCCCGACCAAGUGGCGGGGAAGUACCUGGCGCUGGGCCGGGUCUACUCGGCUGACGCGGUAUGUGGGGGCCAGCUGAGUUAGCGGGCCCCGGCAGGCCCCGAACUCGGUUGUAUGUGCGUAUGUAUGUAUGUAUGUAUGUAUGUAUGUAUGUAUGUAUGUAUGUAUGUAUGUAUGUAUGUAUGUAUGUAUGUAUGUAUGUAUGUAUGUAUGUAUGUAUGUAUGUAUGUAUGUAUGUAUGUAUGUAUGUAUGUAUGUAUGUAUGUAUGUAUGUAUGUAUGUAUGACUUAGAUUACACUGUGGGCCGCGAGAGCCGGGGGCCGAAGCCGAAACACAACGCAAGGGUCGGGAGCACACAGCACAAGUCGGUUAGUCUUGUGUGCUCCCGACCCCGACUCAGACUGCCAACACUCUAAGCAGCCACUCCGCAGCCCCUCCAUCCGGGGAUGGCGCUAUGUAUGUAUGUACGUGCGUAUGUAUGUAUGUACGUACUGACGAGGGCUUUGUUAUUAAGAGCUGUUUGUGUCUGCUUGUCUGUUUGCCUGUUUGUCUGUUCGUGUGACUGUGUCUGCUUGCUUGCAUGUUUGUGUCUGUAGUUGUUCUGAGUGCCUGCUGUUGGUUUGAUGUUUGGUGGUUAAUUGGUUGGUCGGUUAAUCGGCACGCAGGUGUCCAGAUUGGGGUCCGUUGCUGUCCCGGGCCAGGAGGCAGACGGGAAAAAAGAUUUAUAGUGUUAUUAUUAUAUAACAUAAAAAUAUACAUGAAUAUGUAUACAACAUAAUCAUGUAUUGAAUAUGUACAUAUAUACAUGCAUACAUGUUUGCGUGCACGCGGGCGGACAACCUACCUAAUAGAAGGAUCAACUACUAAUGCUGCUUAUGCUGCGCUCUCCGGCUGCUACUGCUACUGCUGCUACUGCUACUGCGGUUCCUGCGUCUGAUGAUUAGGCCUCUGAUGACCCUGCCCGGGCCUCGGAGCUGUGGGCCGUCGCCAGCCGGCUCACGGGCUGUACGCCACCGCCCUCCCUGGCGUGAUAUGAUGUGUCCUUCCUGGCGAGCAUGCUACUGCCAUGACCAUUUGAAUAGCGGCACGAGGGCUCCAAAGUGAUCCUGUACACGCACGUACACCAGCAGUGCUUAUUGUGCCCGCCGUACUGUACGGGCAGGUCUGGUUCGUACAUACGGAGGUAUGGUCGCGACAGCUGCUGCUUUAGUAUUUUAUGUUGGAGAGUGAUCAACACCACUUUCCGUAGGUAUACCUUUGAAAUGCGUGAAGAGUCAAUAAGGCCCUAGGGGCGCUUUUCUUCGACAUUUUAAUUUACCGACUCGCGCAUGUGUACGGCGACGCGGAGUGUCCUUGGCUGGCAUAGCCAAUGCAGCUAAUUACUAGUUGCAAGGUUUCGCAAUUUCCGCACAAGUGCGGGGAAGGGGGGAUAAGACGAACCACGUGAGCGAGUGAAGGUGAUGCCGAGGAAAGACUGAUGCGCCAGAAGUGAGGAAGGCAUCACUAACCAGUCGGCGCUUGUAUUGAAGAAGUUCUUGCGAUGAUGUAGUCAUGACGAUAAAACUACCUACCUAGCCGGCAAAAGAUUGAAUUCAAAAGCGGAAAGAGAGCAGGAAAACCACCCGUAGUAUUCUAUAGGUAAGGGGGUGGGCCGGGCCAUUCGUAAAACCCGAGGGGCUCAUAGACGGCUAAUUGGCAUUAUCAUUGUUAUACUUGCCUAAGAAAAAAAACCGGUCACGGUUUCUAUAUGGUGGUAUGGGUGUUGAUAGGGUGGUGGUCGGCUUAUUCGGGAUUACAAUGACAGAGUCCAGUAACAACUCGGAUCGUCAACAACUCGGCAUGUUGAGCUCGAUUAGCACCUACAUCUAUCAGCAGUUCUUUUCCUCGCAAUGGAUUGGGAUUGAAUUGGCAUCUCCAGCCACAUAGUCACACUCUCCGUGCCUAAAACUUCUUUUCCUCUUAUGUAUGACUGCUGACGUACAGACAGACGAACAGAACGCACAUUUAUGCAACACUACAUGCCGUACUCCGCCUCGGCUGCAUCACUGCAGGAAAGUUCAGCUCCAAGUUUGUAAAAAAUAGCCCACCGUCACGCAGCGUACGAGUGUAUGAAUAUACAGCAACUAUUGCAAAAGACUUCCCUCGCAGCUCUCUCUCGCACCGCCAUCCUGCAAACGUGCCUGUUUAGGCGAUAUAGCAGUCACGAAAAGACAUCAUUGGCCGAAUUGAUGAAGCUCUUGGAAACAGUAAUUUCGGGUACUUAAGGGUACUUGUUCCUGCCGUCGUCUUCUGCUCCAUUUAUAGCUCCUUCCUGCCGGACCCCUCGCUUCAGCCAGCUUUUAAUCAGUCGCCCUUAUGUGCCUGGGGUCUCCGCAUAAUAUCAAGCCCCACCUGACCGCCGCCGCAACAGAUGGCCAUCAUACACCGCACACAAGCAGACAAUCGAUAAUAUCGUGUGCCAUAACACCAAACUGUUGAUGAAGCCGUAGAGACAAGAGGUGCUAGAGCAGCCUCAUUUCUUUGGAGACAGACAAGAAGGCCGAAGGAGAUAGUUUGCGAAAUUUCCCCCAAUAAUAAGCCGCAAUCCAUCCAGCCUGGCUCUCCAUCUCCUGCGCCUCCACAUCCUCCCGCCGCAGUCGGGGACGACGGGGGGUUGUCCGCUCGCCAGGGAGACGACAUAACGACAUACACGCACAGCAACACACACACACACACACACCAGGUUUCACACCUGCACAAUCCAGGGGGGACACACUGAGACAAACACAGACUGGAUAUUUACACAAAGAUAAUAAACUAAACACGCGCAUACGCAGGCGGCGGCAUCAGCGCUGAUACCACUGCUGGUACCGGUGUCGAGUCCUCCCUCCAGCAUGCAUGUCCACGUCGUCUGGAUUAUGUCUGACUGCAACUGAGGCCCCCUCUCCGUCUUAGACGCGAUGGCGAUUUAGAUGGCUCCUUCUCGGCCGCGGCCGCCACCUUCUUUUUUUCCAGAACCGUCUCGCUUUUCAAAUCUUCUUUCUUUCUCUUCUCCUCGCCUUAGUUGAUGACGCGGCGCUCGCGGAGGAUCCGCUCAGAUUCCUCCCGGUUCGCCGGCGCGCCCCGGUCGCCAAAGUGCUGCAUGACAGUUGAUGAUGAGGAUGACAACGAGGAAUGUAUAUAUUUAAUAAUGUUGGUUAAUAUUGAUAAAGAAACUGAGUUAGGGCUGCGCGCCAUCCUAUCCUAUCCAUUGUGUGUCUGUCUUUAUGUGCCUCUGUGUAUUUAGACAUACAUACAGCACGGAAUCUUGGUAUCCAAAUCCGAUUCUGGAUCCGGAGCGCCAAUGGCAUCACUGACCACAUAGCACAUCGCCUAUCUAUCUAGGUACUCGCGAUGUAACGCAUGCACAAAUCUUCGCAUCCACGUGUGUUCAAAUUCGAAUCCUCACUCACCUUCACCCAGUGGCGACGCCGCUGGUUGUUGAACCUAAGGACGUGAUGAUGUAGGGGGGGAAAGCCGGGGGGAGCAGGGUGCAUGUGUAGCUUAGUAUGAUCUCUGGGGCUGCUUGCGUGUGUGUGCGUGUCCCUACCAUACCGUGCCGUACACGUAGUUGCCGUGCAGCUGUGUGUACAUCUACAGAGGCGCCUUCCCCUAAACAUACAUACAUACAUAUCCACUGUCCUAUUGCAGCUAGCUAGCAGUACAACCCAGCUGUAGAGUACGGAGUACAGGCAGGGUCGAUCAUGACACACUUGUACGGGGCACGCUGCUGAAUACGAGUAAUAUCGCAACACCUAAAUUUCAUUUGUGGUAACCAACAAGUACUGCAAUAUCGCAAAUGUACCGCAACCCACCAGUCGCUGAUUUGACGGAACGCGAGACCGGUCUGCCGGCCCAGCUCCUCCUUCUCCUCCUUCUGUGUGUGUAUCAGAACACGCAGGGUGUCAGCAAUAGCACUUACUUAAGACUACAUCGUAAGACUACAGCCCCAAGGCACACACAACAACACAGCUUAGCGGCAACAUGCAUGCACAUAUGUGUGUGUGGUUGUUACAGUGGGGCUACACAUGUGGUUGCAUAUCAGUCGAUGGCAAGGCCGAACGAACCCAGGUUGCGAAUGAAUCGUGGCCCGGGAUUUUGGAAUAGCAAUCGAGUGGCCAUUAGUCAUUAGUAACCUUCUAGGCUCUCCAGGAUCUUCUAAGCUCCAGAACAAGGGUAGGGACAUGUGGACUAGGGACGUACAUACAUACAUACAUACAUACAUACAUACAUACAUACAUACAUACAUACAUACAUACAUACAUAUAUACAUACAUACAUAUACGUUAGUAGUGGCGGGCGGGCGGGGUAUCACUCACCGUGGGGUAUGGCCAGACCAGAUGUGCUGUAUACCAGCUCGUCAAGACGGCGAGAUUGUCCACCGAGUGCUUCUCAGACUUCUUGCGGUUGGCAAUUUCAUGUCUCCAGAACUCUACCGCGUCCUUGUGGCUGUGUGUGAAAUAUAGACAGCAGAAUUGGAUGGGUGAAAUACGAGAGAGUGUGAUGCCCCAUCUAUGGACAAGAACUCGCUACGUGUACGCUAGCUGCUGGUGUCUGAGUAACAUGCUUGCUUCUGCUCACUUCUGCUUCAUUUGUCAGGUUGCCUGGGUGACCUAUCUGAUGGGAUGAAACACCGAAAUGAAAACCUCACUCACACUCACACUCGCACUCACACUCACACUCACACAUUCCCGACUUAGGGUUUGAUCCAUCCAUCGACUUAGGGUUUGAUCCAUCCAUCGACUUAGGGUUUGAACCAUCCAUCGACUUAGGGUUUGAACCAUCCAUCGACUUAGGGUUUGAUCCAUCCAUCGACUUAGGGUUUGAUCCAUCCAUCGACUUAGGGUUUGAUCCAUCCAUCGACUUAGGGUUUGAUCCAUCCAUCCGCACUAUCGUGCUAUGAAGUUUAUUGAUUGGCUAAGCUGAGUUGAUCUUCUAAGGGGCUAAAAGGGGCCAUCCAAAACUCACUGAGCAUGGAGGUUGUGGGCCAUGUUGAGCCGGCCGACCGCUCGCUCCAUGAAAGACAUCGGGUCAAUUUUCACGCCGACAGCAGCGGCGUCGGUGGUGCACUUCCACACGUCCCUUAGGCAGCCCUUCUUCUGGCCGCGCGUGAAGUUGGUUGCGGCAUUCACUGGGUCGGUGACCGCCAUCUUGAGCUGCAUGUCCAGUAUUGGUUGGUUGGGGGAGGGAGGGAGAGGGGAAUGCGUGUGGGACUGGUGAAUGGCAGGUAAAAGAAGGCGGAUAUGGAGGGACAGACAGAUAGACAGAUGCGGCUGCGGGUAAAGGGGGCUGCGUGAUGUUGGCUACAUGAGACAAACUACCUUCAUUAUAAUUAUAUUCCCAAAUUUAUUUGAGUUACAAAGCGUAUGUGCCUAAACUUUAACAAGACGGAUAAACAAUAUCAAAGUGUCAUUUUCAUAUUCGGAAAACAAGCAGUAAUAUUGAUAGCCAGCUGGGCUUACUGAAGAACAUGAACGACGAAUACAAACGCCGAAUACGAAAGACGACGAAUACGAACGACGAAUACGAACGACGAAUACGAACGACGAAUACGAACUACGACGACGUCAAGGGCGUUGUAAUAAUAGAAAAAAGGUUGUCGUUACGGGCGCCUCGUUUCCCUUAGGAGAAGAGACAGGCACCCAUACACCAUGCUCCCCCCCUCCUCACCUUGGCCUCGAAGACCGCCAAAAGGGCAUCUGCCUUCUGCGGGUGCCAAAGAAAUGAGCGAGCGAGCGAAGUAGAGGGGCCCGAGCGAAAAGGGGUUGUGAGGGGAGCGAGCGAUGGGUGUGGCGUGUGGGGUGUGUGUGGAGGUUGUGAGGGGAGCGAGGAGGGAAAACCGGGGGCAAGGAGGGAUGCAAGCAACCAGGAAACAUGAGAACCAAAAGGAAACACGAGAUUGUGGUGGUGCCGUACAAGGCCAGAGUGACUUGCUAAAAAAUUACGCGGGCACUGUGUUCAGGUGUACGGCAAGGCACACGCUUUUCGCACACAGGAUACACUCUGUCUGGGUGACCUGUGGGUGUGGUCCUCAAGCAUGGGGUUGUCGAUCGUACGUACGGAACGGAUGUACGGCACACCUACCUCCAUGAUGUUGGCCUCAGUCACGCGGUCGAAGCCCGCCGAGCCCUUGUUGUUGCUGUUGAUUUUGUUCUUCUUGCAGUUGCUGUUGUUGCUGUUGUUGUUGUUGUUGUCCUGGAAGUCAAGCGAGGUAGGAAGGAAGGAGGGAUGGAGGGAUGGAGGGUUGGAAACGCCGUUGCCUUGUGCACGAGGGGCCACCAACUGACUUGGCAACUGGACGAGUUAGAUCCCUAGUUAGACUAGGGAGGGAAGGAACCUGGGUGACAUAGCCUUGAGCUUGGAGACUCGGAGCAACGACGUCGAUUCCAACGCCAAGAUGUCAACGACACUCCGACGUCGAUCCGCAACCUCGACCCCGACCCCGGCGCAGCAGCCGGCCCUGUACUUACCCACGCAACAUUGAUGGCCUCAGCCUUGCUGUCGUGAAUACCGACCGCCUGCAGGCAGUGAUUUUAAUGGUUGGGUGCCGCGGCGGCGGUCGGGUAGUGAUGAUAUGAGGAGGAGUGCAGAUGAUAUACUAGGAGUUUUGGAAAGGGUACGACAGGUACGGGAAAGGUACGACAGAGGAAAAGUGCGACUAACGAGGCAUGGCAUGAGUUGGGUGGACACCGAUGAUAUAUAAAAUGCGCGGCGUGCAUCUAUUUAAAGUAAAGUAUUGUUGAUCGAUCGGGGGUAGGGGGGGAGAAAAGGGGAGAGAUGGCAGGAUCGCUAACCGACAUUGCGUGGAAACGCUUUCGUUCCUUCCACCAACCCAAACCAGCCCAACGCCCCUAUGAUACAGCCCCCGCACAACAUAAGCUGCUUCGCUUCGCGAAUUAUGGGAACGUUAAUAAGUUCGCCUUGCCCUGCCGUACAAGUAAGGAAAGCAAGCUCACCUUGCGAAGACGCGCCAUGUUGCGGAGGACCUCCUGGACGCGCGGAUGGUCCAUUAGGGAAACCUUCUUGUCAGGCUUCUGGCUGGGGUUCGGAAGCACUGACGGAGGUGGCGCCUUUGGCGGCGGCGGCGGCGGCGGCGGCGGCGUCCCCGUCACCUUCAGCACGGUCUUCACCAUCGAGGCGAAAGGUACUUGGACAGUCUCACGUUCUCGAGACGGCGUCUUCGCACUCGCCGUCGUCGUCGGCUGUUUCUGCUGCUGCCCCUUCCGCCGCUGCGGCGGCUGCGACUUCAAUAUUGUCACCAUCCGCUGCCGCGCCGGCGCCGCCAUCGGCUGUGGCGCCGCCAUCGGCUGUGGCGCCGCCAUCGGCUGUGGCGCCGCCAUCGGCUGUGGCGCCGCCAUCGGCUGUGGCGCCGCCGUCAGCUGUGGCGCCGCCAUCGGUACAAACACGGGCGCAGCUGCGUUCACCGUCGUCCGUUUCCGCCGUUGCACCUUCCGACCCUGCAGCGGCAUGCUCGCCGCCGCCGCCGUCGGCUGUGGCGCCGGAGGGACUAUCAUCUGCGGCGCCGCCAUCGCCGUCAGCUGUGGUAUCGGAGCCCCCAUCGGCUGAGGCGCCGCCAUCGGCUGAGGCGCCGCCAUCGGCUGAGGCGCCGCCAUCGCCAUCAGCUGUGGCGCCGGCGCCGCCAUCGGCUGAGGCGCCGCCAUCGCCAUCAGCUGUGACGCCGGCGCCGCCAUCGGCUGAGGCGCCGCCAUCGCCAUCAGCUGUGGCGCCGGCGCCGCCAUCGGCUGAGGCGCCGCCAUCGCCAUCAGCUGUGGCGCCGGCGCCGCCAUCGGCUGAGGCGCCGCCAUCGCCAUCAGCUGUGGCGCCGGCGCCGCCAAAGGCUGAGGCGCCGCCAUCGCCAUCAGCUGAGGCGCCGGCGCCGCCAAAGGCUGAGGCGCCGCCAUCGCCAUCAGCUGAGGCGCCGGCGCCGCCAAAGGCUGAGGCGCCGCCAUCGGUACAAACACGGGCGCAGCUGCGUUCACCGUAGUCCGUUUCCGCCGUUGCACCUUCCGCCGCUGCAGCGGCAGCUCUCGCUGGUGCAGCGGCAUGCCCGACGCCAUCGUUGGCACGCCCGCCGCCGCCAUCGUCAUGCCCGCCGCCGCCAUUGGCACUCCCUUCGUACUCGACAGAGGCAGCGGCAGCACACCCAUCGCCAUUAGCUGUAGCUGCAGCUGCAGCUGUUGCAGCUGUUGCUGCUGAAGUUGUAGCGGCAGGGGUAGUGCCGGCGCUUGUGGUGGUGGCGCUACCAUCAUCGCCGCCGCUGGCAGCGGUAGCGGCGUGACCCCAUUUAUUGGCUUGUCCGCCACCAUCUGCAAGCCAGCCGCAGUAAAGGGCAUCAUCGUAAAUGGAGGCAGUGGCUGCUGCUGCUGCUGCUGCUGCGCUCGUGGCGGUUGCAGUGGCUGCAGUAGCUGCUGCUGCUGCUGCUGCUGCUGCUGUUGCGGCAGCGGCGGUGGCGGCGGUGGCGGCAUCUGCUGCCGUGACUGCUGCUCCCGUUCCUGAGGCUCCUGGUCAGUCAGUGUCAUUGCGCUCAUCUUUUUCAGCAACGUGUCCUUCUGCUGCUCGCACAUCGGAGGUGCCUCGACGUCCUGCAGCAGAGCUUUCAGCAAUGGGCAAUUAUUGUCCCGAAUCGGCGCCAUCAUCUCCUCCUGCGAAUUCAUCAGCGGCUGCACCUCGUGCUGCACGGGUGUCAUUUCAACGUCCUCCGGCGUGAUCAGUGGCUUGAGAUCCUCCUGGUCGCGCAGCAGUGGUAGCACGCCUUCACUAAACGACGGCGAUGAGGGCAGCAAGACUGUUUCCGAAGCUGCCUGCUGCUGAUCGGCGCCCUGUGGUAACAAAAAAUAAUGUAAAAACGUGGUGUAUAAAUAGCAAAUGGAUACCUGCGUCACGUCAUGUCAAGUCAUGUUAAAGUCAGGUCAGAACCUGCCGAGACAAGCUAGUCAAGUCACCAGCAGGCAGGGCAGCACGUCGAGUCAAGACCAGUUAAGCAAGGCGGACGUCAAAAUAUCAACACAUAAGAUAAAAUAUAAUUAUCAUUAUAUUGUCAUUAGCGGCUCAACCUUGAAAGAAUUUUGUUAAGCCAAAGGUGCGCUAUCUUAGUCAUACCAAAUAAUUUUAAAGUUAUCCCGCGAGGUCCCCAAUAAGCAAAACAGGUGACCGUUUUAAUAUGCACAAAGGAUGGUCGCCGGUUCGCCGUUACUUGCAUACGCACCUUCCCAUCCUCCUCGCCCUCUGUAGCCGUGAAAUUCUGCUCAUGCUGUUCCGGCUGCUCUUUCGCAAACUCUUCGAACAUGUCAAGCAGCUCAGAACGGCGGCCCUCUGGGUCCAAAGGCUUUGCUGCCGCCACUGGCGGGCAAUUCGAGUCGCCAGCAAUAAUUGAAGCCUCCUUGGCAACGGCAGGCUCCGCGGCAGCAGCUGCGAACAACUCCAUCGUCGGAGCAGUCACCGUCGUCGCAGAAGGCGCCGUCGCCGUGCCCGCCGCGUCCACCGCGGCCGCCGCGGGGGCCAUCGUGCCCGCCGCGUCGCGGCCUGCCAAAGCCGUCGCGGCCACGUGUACAUCCACAUCCACGUCAACAUUCGCCGUGUCAGUCGCGACAGUCGCUGCAGGCGCCGCCAUUGCGGCCGUCUCGGUGUCCAUCAACAGGUCAAUCUCGUCCAGAUUCAAAAGCUGAUCAAGCUCCAGCGCCAAGUCAGCGUGGGCGCCAAGGGCAUCCAUGGCGAGAGCAUGGGCGGCUGAAGCCGCCAUCGCCGAUGCAACAGCUUCCGUGGCUACCUUGGCCGUCGCGCCAUAGGCAUUCAUGUUCAACACGACGCCAUCACGGGCGGCGAUGACCUUCACCUCAUCGGGGUCAAAAAAGACCUCUGUGGAGGAAAUCGCCUUCAAGAGGGGGUCCAUUCCGGAACCGAUGCUGGGCGAUGGCGCCAAGUCUCCCUCGCCAAAGUACUCGAGAGCGGCUCUCUUCAUCUGAAGCAGAAGCAGGAAGAUUGGAAUUGCGGCCAUUACACUGUUUGUGUUGUUAUACUUAGGGCAAAUGAAGGGAAACGAACAGCGAAAGCAACAGGGAUCUGGAUUUGGAUCCAGCCAGCCAGCAGUAGUAUUGACAUCAGCCUCAGUCUCAGCCGCGCCCACCCACCCAGCAACCACACUAUAUGCAUAUAGAUAGACACAUGUCUGUCUGUAUGCAUGCAUGUGCGCAUGUGUUAUGUAUGUAUGUGCGCUUCGUGCCGUCAAGAGGUAAGUGAAUGUAUAUGCGGGUACGUGGCCAUUAUGUUCCCCCGCUGACGGGUAAGUGUACCGCUAGUGUGUAGAGGACUACAAAAUAUUUUCAGCUUCGCUGUGUUAAGCUGCUCUGCUCCACCGAGUGGGGUAAACCGGUGCAACAACAGAAUGAAAAAAACAAUUGCACGGCAGGAUUAAAGCUAAGUAGAGCACAUACAUACAGGCAGCAUGCACGCAAAAAAAAACGUUGCGCAGCAGUGCAAGGAACGGGUAUUGCAGACCAACCAUGCAACAUAUAUAUACGGUGUGCAGCCAAUAUCAGAGCGGCAAACAAAUAAGUCCAACACAAUGCAAAAGUAUGUAUGCAUCAUAUAUUAACAUCGACACCGCAGCACCUAAAAGCUGCGCGCGGUGCUCUCUAUUGAUUGAUCGCACAAUGCUGAACAAGAAUGUUUCCAGCAGAAGAGUUUUCAGUAGAGCAGCAGCUCAUAACGAAUGACUGAAGGUUAUUGGCAAAAGCAAGAGUACAUAUGCCUAAAUCUUGCACAAACACCUCGCAGAGGGUGGAUACCAGCAUGCUCAUGGCGCCCGGGUGCGCAUGUGCAAUAAGCGAAUUCCACAGAAUGGCUUGCAGGGGAAGUCAUGAAAAAUGGCAACGCCCUGCUAUGGCAAUGACGCGUCAGCAGGAUGAUGAGCGUGUUGGGUCCAGCAGAUAAUUAUUGUUUGUGGCGUAAAAGCCAAAAGGACGCAGCUAAGUGAAGCUACCAUACUCUGCUUGCGGGGCCGGGGCAUCUGUACAUCUCUUACCUGGGCGUCCAUGCUGCCAAGUGUAGCUUAAAAAAGGUAGUUUGGCGGGACUCCUGCAGACUUGUCGAAUCGCUGGCCAAGUCCUGACUAAUGCGCUUAUAAAGCGGAGGGACUACUGCUAAGAUAACUACGCUAAACCUAGCCUACUGGCGCUACUGGUGCCUACAGUGGGAGUAUCCUAAGACCCUAAGCCUAGGAAAACCUAAAGCUGCCAUAACCAGUUGAAUUGUUUUUAUAAUGGUUGGGCCGAUCGAGUCGGUUCUGCAUGUCGUACGGAAGCCACGCAGCCAGCACCCCCGAAGAGCAAUUGCUUGGGCAGGUGAAUCGGCACGGGUCGCCCGCUCUUAGUUCAAAUUGGCGAAAAAAACUUGAUAAUAAUGAUAGCCAGUAUGAAGUUGUGGAGAAAGGGUGAAUUGAAAACAUGGGAUGCCCGAAGCCUGUCAUGUCACGACUUGCUACCUGUGGUGGCGAUUGUCGUCGCGUCCGUUAGGGAUUUGUCAUCCAGAAGCCGCUGAGAAACAGGGAAGCUGGUACCAGUUCAGCAAAAACAUAGAGAAUCACAUAAUUAAAAAAAUAACUACGAAUAAUGAAGCGUAAUGCCUAUCCUGUAAGUCUGACGAUUCGACGCUUCGCUGCUUUUUGUCUGUCGAAUGUUUUCACAGCGUCACCUCACGUCAAUCCACUGGCAAGCGGAAUAAAUAUAUUUGUAGAAUGCAUUCAAAUUUAUCGUUGCGGAGGAGCUAAUUGUCGCUGUGCAAGGAGGGUAGGAUCCGGGCUGGAAUUAGGGAGGAGCUCUGUCGCAGAAUUAGCCUGGAUUUUAUUCCUGACAAAAGAAUUGGUCUGCCGAGGUCUGGAAUUGUUCUGGCGGACUCGCCGGAGGUAUUCGAAUUGCGCUGUGGAGCCUCGGAAUUGGGCUGUGCUGGGCCUGAAUUGGCCUGUCCGGGUGUCGAAUUGGCCUGUCUGGGUGCCGAAAUUGGCCUAACAGGGUAUUGAAUUAGCCUGACAGGGUAUCGAAUUGACCUGUUCGGGGUGUCAAAUUGGCCUGACAGGGUAUCGAAUUAGCGUGUUCAGGGUGUCGAAUUGGCUGUCAAGUUGGCAGGAUUAGCUCGGGCUGGCAUCCAAAAGCACAUGACUUUUAAGGAAUUUACAGAAAACUUUGCAAGAGGACCGCUUACAAGUGCCUCAUGUGCGUAUUAGUUUCGAUCCCACGACAUGGAGUGGGAAAACUUGCACACCUGGUUACCGUACUCUGGCACUACUACUACUACUACGGGAGACAAGCACUCAGGGCCACGACUGCAUUACCCAGUCAAGUCAGCCGCCGAGGUCCCACUGUUUUCCCACCACACUUCAUCGGCAGUUCGUCCAGUUUAUCCCACAACACUCGUAUGCAUGAACAGGUUCGGGUGGAAACAAUGACAAAUCUCUGAUACACCGCUAAACUCAGUACCACGAGCUACAUUGGAAACAAAUGAAAAUGCAGAUGUCUGCCGAGAAGAAUAUGUUCACCAUAUGCAAUCUAUGCCUUAAUCCAUCGAGCUCUCCGUUGGGCGGGGCAUGGCCCAUGAAAUCGCCCCCGGUAUUCCGCCCAUGCAACCAAACACUGACACAAAACGUUGCACGCCUGGGCCCAUGUAAACCACGACACUUCCGUGUGGAUUGGCUACCCGCGCUCCCCAUGUCAGGGGUCCUCCCUCCUGCUGUUGACUCCCGGAUUGCCCACGCACAAACGCCAAACGUUGGCGCAGAAAACAGACAGGCCAUUGUAGUAUGGCAUCAAACCACGCAUAACCCACAGCGGCUUUCAGCAGCAGUAUUGCUUGGUGAAUGCGACCGGCCGCGUACUGCCAGUCUUAGCACCGAUGAACCACCCCCUGAUGCCGCCGCUGAUGCAGCAGGCAUAUGGGUCUACACCGCCGAGCUCUGACCAGUUUGUUUUGAACUCGCCUACACAGGGUUGUAAAACAAGGGGGGCAUUUCUGUUGUCAUAUGGUAUGAUGUUUCAUAGACGUCGGUAUGUAUAACAUUAUACAAUUGGGUGGGUGGGGUGAGGUAGGUUCCUCCUUUCUAGGUUGCCCACUCUUCCCUGCCACACAUCUCACGUCGCCACUUACCAGUAGCACCACGCGACUUGACGCGGGGUGGCACAUCCUCUGCUUCGGUGAUGGCGGCUGGUGCACUCAUCGGGACCACAGUUCCGCCGCGUCCUCGACGGUGCCAGUCUCCGCGUCCCUGUGUCCCUGAUCCUCCACGGCCCCCUCCGAUGCCGUUUUGAUCUUGAACAAGAGGGAUUUCGCGUCCGAGACGGUAAGGCCCGGUACAUUCCCUCUCAGUGCCAUGGCGGUGCGAAGCGGGGAGAGCUGGAAAUCCUCUGCAAUGAAGGACACACUGUCUUUCAAAACACCGUUCGCAAAGUUUCCGGUUGUUCUCGGCACGGGGACAUCGCCGCCCCACGUCUCUGGCACGGACUCGCGCUUUUCUCUCUGUGAUCAAUCUCUCACCUUGGAACAGUUCCCAUGCUUCACCAACGGAGUAGACGCCGAGAUCUUCUUCGAAUUGACGACGCACAGCAUCCACCCGUUCAUCGUCCACGUCCAGCACAUCGUGGAGACACGUCGCGACAGCCGCGACAUCAGACUAUAGACGCAGCAGAGAAUUAAAUAAACCCCGAGUGAAGGCGAAUGGCUGCAAGUGCACCAUGGCGCAUUUGCAUGGUUGGAAGCCACAAAGCAUGAAAAGACAUACCGCGUCAUUUGGACUUCGUGUCAGCUGGUCUCGAGGGUCUCCAUCUUCCGCAGUGUCCUCCAGGGCGACAUCUAUAGCGGCCAUUUACUCGCCACUCCUACCCGAAAGUAACCUAUCUUCUAUGUAUCAACGCUANNNNNNNNNNNNNNNNNNNNNNNNNNNNNNNNNNNNNNNNNNNNNNNNNNCCCCAGCGGCUUUCAGCAGCAGUAUUGCUUGGUGAAUGCGACCGGCCGCGUACUGCCAGUCUUAGCACCGAUGAACCACCCCCUGAUGCCGCCGCUGAUGCAGCAGGCAUAUGGGUCUACACCGCCGAGCUCUGACCAGUUUGUUUUGAACUCGCCUACACAGGGUUGUAAAACAAGGGGGGCAUUUCUGUUGUCAUAUGGUAUGAUGUUUCAUAGACGUCGGUAUGUAUAACAUUAUACAAUUGGGUGGGUGGGGUGAGGUAGGUUCCUCCUUUCUAGGUUGCCCACUCUUCCCUGCCACACAUCUCACGUCGCCACUUACCAGUAGCACCACGCGACUUGACGCGGGGUGGCACAUCCUCUGCUUCGGUGAUGGCGGCUGGUGCACUCAUCGGGACCACAGUUCCGCCGCGUCCUCGACGGUGCCAGUCUCCGCGUCCCUGUGUCCCUGAUCCUCCACGGCCCCCUCCGAUGCCGUUUUGAUCUUGAACAAGAGGGAUUUCGCGUCCGAGACGGUAAGGCCCGGUACAUUCCCUCUCAGUGCCAUGGCGGUGCGAAGCGGGGAGAGCUGGAAAUCCUCUGCAAUGAAGGACACACUGUCUUUCAAAACACCGUUCGCAAAGUUUCCGGUUGUUCUCGGCACGGGGACAUCGCCGCCCCACGUCUCUGGCACGGACUCGCGCUUUUCUCUCUGUGAUCAAUCUCUCACCUUGGAACAGUUCCCAUGCUUCACCAACGGAGUAGACGCCGAGAUCUUCUUCGAAUUGACGACGCACAGCAUCCACCCGUUCAUCGUCCACGUCCAGCACAUCGUGGAGACACGUCGCGACAGCCGCGACAUCAGACUAUAGACGCAGCAGAGAAUUAAAUAAACCCCGAGUGAAGGCGAAUGGCUGCAAGUGCACCAUGGCGCAUUUGCAUGGUUGGAAGCCACAAAGCAUGAAAAGACAUACCGCGUCAUUUGGACUUCGUGUCAGCUGGUCUCGAGGGUCUCCAUCUUCCGCAGUGUCCUCCAGGGCGACAUCUAUAGCGGCCAUUUACUCGCCACUCCUACCCGAAAGUAACCUAUCUUCUAUGUAAUCAACGCUAAACGCNNNNNNNNNNNNNNNNNNNNNNNNNNNNNNNNNNNNNNNNNNNNNNNNNNUUUAAAAAGCUGAAGGUAUUUAGACAGUAAGGAAGCAUUUCUAAAAAUCUCGGUAAACCAUUGCAAUAAGUAUGCCAGUUUAUAUUAUCACCAUAGGUUCUUGUGUCGAACGGUGCUAAAUGAACCAUGGUGCAUGCAUGGAAGUAUUCGGGGCGGAGAAGUCUCAGGCCUCUGCUAUGGAAGUCCUGGAGAAACGUCAGCUUGAUUGCAGAGUCUGUGGACGCCAGCACACGAUUAACUUGUGUUGCUGUGGCCACCCAGCGCCAUGCACGGUCCUGUACCCACAAUUUUGUGUUCAGGCGCUUUGUGGCUUCGAUGGAUCUAGCUGUGGAGUUAAGUAUGCGUCCUUCGCAGCCUUCGCACCGGCAGUGUUGGAUACGGAUGCCGGUAUGCCAUGUUUUCAGACCUGUUGUCGCAGCGCGGGCUUCGAAGCACGGCGCCGUUGCCCGGUCCGUUACCCAUGCCGGGCGCCCGUCCAGCGCGCCCCGCCUUCCUGCAACAACUAGCCGAGCGUCGGCGCCGUGUUAUCGGUGGGAUGUCGUGCCCUGGACUGCGCGACGAAUGUUACGCCUGCCUAUACGGCUGUUCCCAGGCGGGUGUGUUGGGGCCGCGGGACAUUGAGGCCGCCAUCAUGGACACGGGCGGCGAUGCAGGGCGCGCGCUAGCCUGGUACCCCGGGUUGUUGAUGGCAUGGUGGUUUGCUAAGGUCAGUGCAUGUGGGUCGGGCAAAGGCAAGGCUAGCGUGUUGGUCUGCCUGACAAAUGUUAACCCACAUGGGAAUCCUGACAUGGCACCACAGGCGGAUACAUUCUUCCGGGAGAAUCAGCUUCCAGCAUACUACGGCGAAAUCGACUCCAUCCGGUCCGUUGUCUGCAGUUUCUCCUCCGCAGCUGUAUGGCCGUGUGCCGCGUGUCUGGCCCUCAACAGAAAUCACCAAUUGAAGCGUUCAGCCGACGCUGCUUCACUGCGAGUCGCUGCGACACAGCGAGUCGCGACAGACCCAAGUGUCAUUGUCCCCUUCCGUUCUGCCGAGGGACUUGAGCGUGCGGGACACGUUGAGCUCUUUGAGCGGCUCAAGGUGGUCACAUCCGCAUUGAUCGCCGAGCGGGCAGAUCGAAUAGUGCUGGACAGGGAGAUUAAGCGGCGGACAUCCCUUUUCCAGGCUGAUAGAGUGAGGCUACAGGCAUACGCUCGGGCAGAUGCAUCACGCAGUGAACCCGUCCGACUGCUCGAAACAUCACAACAACGAGGUAUGAUGCAGUAUCGGCAUGCGUGAGUAGUGUAGGCUGGCGUGCGUGUACACAUGCCUUGACUUGUUAACCAUCGGACAUCGAUUGACAUUCAGGACUCGUUGACGGCACAAUUCAACAGUUGCUGCGGGGUAUCAUCCGGGGUCUCAGCAUCAAAGGACAACAACGCCAGCCGGAGGAGGUAGCUUUUUACAUUGCCCCUUGCAGUGACGUGGGUGUCCGUGCUCCAACCCGUCGUGCUGACUAUUGACCAAAUGCACAUUGGCUGGCGCCUAAGGUACGCGGGCCUGCAGUAGGGUACAUUAAAAGCCAGGAGCAUGGCCAUGCGUUCACGGGCGAAUGACUGGUACCAAAUAGGAUCAGCAAUGUCGACACUGUAACACGUGCUGCAGGCGCCAGCUCAUCAACCCCCGGAAGAUGAUGAUGAUCGGGCCAUACCUCAUCAGCUUCCCUGCACUGCGCGCGCUGAGCAAGCGCAUGCCCCAUGUCAACAUCUCGUCCCAGGAUCUCAACUACAAGGACAAACAGAACCAGCGCGCCACUCUCAAGUAGGCUCUAUCCAACCUGGAAUUAGGUACAGACUGGUUUGUGGCUGACUUACCGCCAUUCACUGACAGAAAGGUUGGCCGACCUCGACAUGGAUCCCUCAACUGGAAGCGUCAAGGCAGUCAGUGUGCUGCGUGACGCACUGGAGACAGGUUCACGCAGUCCGGUUGGCGGUGAUGGUCCUAUCGUUGACGGCUCGUAUUAUGCUACCUUCCUCUAUGUGACGUUCAUGCAUUAUUUAGUAGCUGGCCGCUGAAAAGGCCUCUCGAGAUGCUGGUGGUCGUGCUAUGCGUGUACCAGCUUACUGUGCUUACUGUGUACCAGCUACUACAGCUACAUUGUGCCGGGCCACACUACUGCAGGGCAGGCGCGUGUGCUUACAUUUCUUUGUCUGCGUGAAUGAUUGGAUGUAUGAAUGAAUGGAAGGUGUGGUUAACAUGAAUGAAAGGUGUGGUUAACAUGCCCCUGGUUUGGUUCGGUUCGGGUGGUGGUAUCUUUUUGAACACAUGUAGUCUGGUCGAGUGCCGGGGGCCCUUAGCAGGACUGAAGCACAGUUCAAGACGAGGCGUGUGGAUAUGUCUGCUUGUCUGAACGAAGGAAUGAAUGAAUAGACCGGGUGUUAAAAUUGUGAGCGACUUGCCAUGCAGACACACCUUUGGUUCUGGUCGGUUCGGGUGAUGGUAACUUUUCACACAUACACACACAAUGAAUGUAUGGGUGAAUGAGUACGGAGUACGGCAGUACGGAGUACAAGCAUGUACGGAUUUGAAACCAACAAACACACGAGAGAUAUUUGUAAGUGCUCCCCUUGUUUUGUAAAGUUCCUUCAACUCCCGCGAUUCUGAAUGCGUGCCUGAGAGUUUGGGGGCAGACCCUGCAAUUGGUCUAGAUUGCUCGGUAGAAGGGUUUAAAUUGACACCUGGGACAAGUUGAAUUGCCGGGACAGGCCCUUGAAUUGGCCUGACAGGGAUAUGAAUUGGCCUGGCAGGGACAUUCCGACAGUCAGAAUUGGCCUGUCCGGGUGCCGAAUUAGCCUGGCGGGACAUUCCGUCAGUCAGAAUUAGGCUGACAGGGUGUCGAAUUGGCCUGGCAGGGACAUUCGGACAGUCAGAAUUAGCGUGUUCAGGGUGUCGAAUUAGGGAAGCACGGGAAUUGUGCGACCGGGGCAGUCAAAAGAAUUGCUCUGCCCGACAGUUUGUCCUACCCUCUACUGUGCAUGAACCUGCGUGGCUCAGCGUUGUAAAAUGUUGUAAGCAAACGUAGCGCAGUGCACAUUAAAAGUUUCAUUUCAGCUCACAAAUUGAAUUCAUUAAUUCGCCUAUUACUCCGUCCUUGCAGCUGCUCUUACAUUACAAUUGCACAUAAGGGCGCUCCGGUGGUCUUGUUUUGCGUGGCCAAGGCGCCCUGUGCAAUAAUAUUUCCUGGAAUAUGUCAUAACGGAUAAUUAUGCGAUGUGCAAUUUGCGAUUUUUUCCUUAAUAAGGCAGGAUGUAAUAACAGAGAGCAAGGCCUCGCCGUGACAGACCGUGACGCCUUGUCACGCAUAUUUUCUGCCGGCGACCUUGUGUGCAGGUGUCGCCUACGCGCUGUUCUGGCUGCCGGAUAAAUUUAUAAUUAUAAAAUACAUCCUAAAAUACAUGAUUUAUUUCUCGUAUUCUUCUCCUUGGGCUCUUGCUUCGUUGGUUUCUUUGUGUUACGGUAUGCUGCGGUGUGCAUACGUGCAUUCGAAGACGCAAGCAGCCAGCCUGUCUAUGUACGCGCUGGCUACAAAUCUAGCUACGUCUUUGAGCCAGGUAGGGUAGAUACGCCAUACAUACGGCUUGGUGAGGACUGAAACUGAAAAGAAAAGGCUUCUACUCUCCGUCCUGCUGCUCGCUGAAUGACGCGGGUCGGCAUCGCAUGAUGAAAAAAGCCAUACAUACACCUCCAUAUCGAUGUCAAGCUUAAGAACAAAACCGUGCGUGCAUGGGUUCGCUUGCAUGAGGUCGUCAUCAUUCACUUCGCCGUGUCCGCCGUACACUCGUGUAACGGACCUAUCUAAGUAUCCUACUUACCACAAUCCACAAUGUGAUAACUAACACACACACAUACAUACAUACAUACAUACAUACAUACAUACAUACAUACAUACAUACAUACAUACAUACAUACAUACAUACAUACAUACAUACAUACAUACAUACAUACAUACAUACAUACAUACAUACGCACCUGGCCCGCAUGGUGCCGGAGCGCUGUGGGUGUGGAGGGUUCGGCAACGCCAGCAACCAGCACUGCUCCCCACGCAUGCACCACUUCUGGGAGUGCCCCGUCGCACAAGCUGUCCGGGAGCAGAUUGAUCGACACAUACAGCCCUCCCAGGAGGCAGCGACAGGCGGCAUCACCCGGAAGCAGCUGUGGCUGGUCCAAGCCCCGACCGGCUGCGAGCAGGCCCCCUGGGAUGUGAUCGCCCUGGCAGCCCUGUCUGCCAUGGAGGUAGGCAGGUGUUGUCUGCGAGCAGCCGGAAGGCGACUGGAAAGGGCGGCUAACCCCGCGACAGAACAGCCAGAGCAAGCGCAACAGAUCCAGGCGCAAGGGCCCCAACAGCGGCGGAUAACGGACUUCUUUCACCUGGCCAACGGAGUGAGACCGCACGAGGGGCCGCCGCUGAACGCGCCGGUACUCGAGGAUCAAACGCAGGGGCCCAUCGCGGGACCGGGGACGGCAACAGCAGCAGCAACAGCAGCAGCAACAGCAGCAGCAGCAGCAGNNNNNNNNNNNNNNNNNNNNNNNNNNNNNNNNNNNNNNNNNNNNNNNNNNGGGUUUUGAGGUGGUGGGGGUGGUAGGGAGGUCGAGAGGGAGGUUGAGGGGAUAGGUUGCGAGGGGGGCGGGAUCAGGGAUGGGGCUUGGGGGGGUGCCGCGCAAGGGGACAUGGGGGAGGGAGGGUUUAUUUGCCUGGGGGAGCCGUACCGGCGGAGGGGGGGGAGACCGGGGAAAGGGCGGGGAGAGCCGGGGGGGGAGGGGAAGAGGUAGAGAGUACACCAAGAGGAUGUAGGGUUGAGGAGUGGUGAGUGGAAACAGGUGGCCGUAGCGAGGGCGCGGAUGAGGGGGAGGUGGGCACCCAGAAGGGGGGGCCGUACUCGAAGGUGCGCGCGUGGUGCAGGACUAGGUUCUUCAGGGUACGAGACCGGGUUUUUCGUGGUGCGGCGUCUAGGUGAGAUAGGAUCUUGGGAACCAGCCGUCUUGGUAGAGCGGUAUUGGGGGGGCGCCGAGCUGGCUACCCUCCCCCCCUGUGGUUUCCGGAGGCUUGAUCGCCCUGCGUUGCCGCAGGGUCUUCCCGGUUGAGUACUUUUCAAUUUAGACCCAGUGCUGUGGAAGGGCGCGGACUUGUGCGGUGUUACCCCCUCGACGGGGGCUAUCUCCCCUGGACUAGCCCGGGGAGGGAGAGGCGGAGGAGGGUAGUAGUCUCAGGAGGCUGUUUGGCGUCUUGUGGUGUGAGCUCUUUGCGCUCUUUUUUGCGUGAGGAUUUUUGAGCUUGGUGACCUCCCCAGCCCGGGAAGACUCGUCGGGCUCCCGGUCGCCCAAGUCCUGGUAGCGAGCUCUCUGAGAUGCUCGGUUCGUUCGGUCGGCAGGAAGAGCCCCCCAGUUGCGACUUCGUUUAUGUUAGGAGACCAACGGGCAUAGAUCCCGUCUAGUUGGAGCGCCAAACAAGCGCUGUUGCGUGCCGGCCGUCGUUUCCCGUGCGGCCUGACCCGGGGGCGGAGUGCAUGAGACUAACCAGCCGUAUGCACCCGCCCCCCGCGCUGUGCUUCGGCCCUGGGCCCCCGGCUUUUCAGCCCACAGUGUAAUCAACGUCAUACAUACAUACAUACAUACAUACAUACAUACAUACAUACAUACAUACAUACAUACAUACAUACAUACAUACAUACAUACAUACAUACAUACAUACAUACAUACAUACAUACAUACAUACAUACAUACAUACAUACAUACAUACAUACAUACAUACAUACAUACAUACAUACAUACAUACAUACAUACAUACAUACAUACAUACAUACAUACAUACAUACAUACAUACAUACAUACAUACAUACAUACAUACACAGUGUGUGUGUGUUACGUGGUCUUGGGUUGCGUUCCCCGUACCUGCAAACCGCCCAAUACGAGCCGAGGGCUCAAGGGCUGCCAGAUCGCCUAUAAGCACCAUCCUACCUCGCACUUCAGACAAUCCCAAUGGCAUACUCCAGGCCGGUUCCGGCCCGGUUCCGACCUAACGGGUCCAGUUAACGAGAUGGGUAACCGGUCGGUAGGAUUACCGGGCGAACCGUUAUCCGUCAACCGUCCCCAGUAAUCGGUAACCGAUGUCGGUAACCUGGCAUGAGCAAAAAUGCAUUUCUGAUUGCAACCAGUUUCUUUGUGACAAUGCCCAUUGUCACAAGGUUCAUGCCCACGUGUCACAACCCGACAAGCUUGAGGAGGUUAAGGCAAUGUGAAUGCCGGGUGACAGGGGUGACAGUCUUGUGCAGGCACAUUUGGAGACUAGUUUACACUGAGAUUGGGGUGAUGUUGGAUUAGAAUACUUGCAGUUCAUGAAAUUGAGGAAAUGUGUUGCAUAGGCAUAUCCAAACGUUUCAGAGGGACGUUGUUUCGCCCGUAACAAACUUGUUACGGGCGAAACAAACUGGAUUUCCACAGUCCCACCACUCAAAGAGCUCCCCACACCAUCGCAAAGUCCCUUUUUUAUUACAGACACAUGUAACAAGUUGUCAUAGCUUGAGAUUGUCGAUAUAUGACUGCUGGAUUGUGACCAGGCCAUCUCCUUACAUGUCUUGCUGCACCAGCAUGAGCAGUGAUCCCUUCUGUUCAAAAUUUUCAGGCAACAUCGCAAUCAGGCAAAACAUUGUGCCGAAUCUGCCGUACAAAGAGUGUUCAAAGCUUCACGCUACUAACAGACGAAUACAUAAGCAUUCGUUUACCUUGAAGGAAUAAAGGAAUAUUAUAGCUUCAUACAAAUUCGCCUAUCAGCAACUCUCCCUAGUCGUUCAAAAGUUGCUUGAAGAUUCUACCAUCUCCAUACUAUGAAGGAGCGCUUCUUCAUUUCUUUAUUUUAUCUGAACCUUAACGUAUCCUUCCAACACAAUGUCCAUGGACAACGGUAAUGAGGUCGGCGCCUACGAGUUUGACCGGAACGCCCUGGACAACAUCCCCGGCGGCGACAAGGUCGCCCACGCAAGAAGUACAGCCAGCAUCGUCCAGUGGAUGAGCUUGGAGUACAUAAGUUUGCCAGGGCAAACAAUCUAAGUCAAUUUACCGCGUGCCAAUUGGAGGAUGCCUUGUCUCAAAAGUUUGUCCUAGCAUAGCUUGCGUAGCUAGUAUUGCCUGGUUUUAGUUGUUGCAUGUAAGCUUGUGAGUUGGUGGCCUGGUUCAUGCUUAUGGGCGACAAUUGAAAUGCCGGGACAAUGACUUAUUAGGGACAAUGACACGGCAUUUCACGCCCUCAAAGCGGGAACAAACGCUAAAACUAAAUACAUACAUAGUUCUAAAUCUUCUACUAAAAUUUUCCUGCAGCGUUAGAGGCCUUUAAUUAAUAUUGGCGAACGAUGCUUCCCGCGCUACCGGGAUACUCCCUAUGGCAUAAACAUGCCGGUUACCGACCGNNNNNNNNNNNNNNNNNNNNNNNNNNNNNNNNNNNNNNNNNNNNNNNNNNNACCCAACCGACCGUUAACCCAACUGAUCGUUAACCCAACUGGCCGUUAACCCAACCGACCGUUAACCCAACCGGGCCGUUAACGCCAUUCAACCGGCCGGUUGGGUUAAUGGGCCCCAAACGGUCGGUAACCGGCAUGUUUAUGCCAUAGCAAGUGAUAAAGGAUACUAAUGGGCCCCAAACGGUCGGUAACCGGCAUGUUUAUGCCAAAGCAAGUGAUAAAGGAUACUAACCACCAAAGGGAACGAUAGAGUUGGGGUGGGACCAUAUACGUUCCAGCAUCCUUGCCAGACGUUCAGGUCCCCCCUUCAUAGCGUCACCACAAUGUAAUCCCCGGCAAUUAUCAGUCAGACAUACGCGGGCUGGAACCCGUUAUAAAAGAAACAAGUUUUCAAGUUUGAAAACAUGUCUUGAAUUACUGCAUCGAAUCAAACAUGCAUACCGUCAAAAAGAUAGAACACUGAUAACACGCAGAAAGACCUGCCUGCCUGAUGGGUUUUGCGGAGGAUAAUGGGAUAUGCGGAGGAUAAACAAGUGGACCAACAUCAAGGACAGCUGGCAACAAUACAUGUCGCCGUACGACUUUAUCGCAUUCACCACCAUUAUUCUAGGAAUGAAGAUGAGAAGCUAGCUGUGUGCCAUCGGCUACAUCCACGCACACUGCCUGCACCGCCUUGUCCGAUACCGCUGUUUCCGAUUUUUUGGGCGGGGCCCCAGCGCGAAGCGCCCAGGGGGGCCCCGACCUGUAGGAUUGCCCAUGUCCGUGUGUGUGUGUGUGUGUGUGUGUGUGUGUGUGUGUGUGUGUGUGUGUGUGUGUGUAACGGACCAAACAUAAUAUCUCGCCUGGCUGAAACGCGUUAUAGGUACUAUACAGCAUUCUCUAUUGCAAGGUAUCUCGCAUGUAGCCAACAAAAAUCGUAUGAGCGCAAACAAGUUUGGCUGCCUCAAUUGACCGAGGCCAAAGUCACAUCAACGCCUCUCGCGCUAAAUUUCAUCGCAAAAGGUACCGCGUAUCUCAUAUUUGAAUUCUUAGAUGACGGCGUAUGAUAACUCGAACUCCCAGGCCUUGAGUGUGUAACGGACCAAACAUAAUAUUUCACCCGGCUGAAACGCGUUAUCGGUACUAUACAGCAUUCUCUAUUGCAAGGUAUCUCGCAUGUAGCUAACAAAGACCGUAUGAGCACAAACAAGUUUAGCUGCCUCCAUUCACCGACCUCAAAAGUCACAUCAACGCCUCUCGCGCUAAAAUUCAUCCCGAAAGCUGCCGCGUAUCUCACAAUGGAAUUCUGAGAUGACGGCGUAUGAUAACUCGAACACCCAGCUUGUGUUACCAUUUGCCGGCAUGGGCAAUCCGACUUGCCACCAGCAGGCCAACAUAAUUUGCUUUCAUUUCUCUAUGAAAUACANCAGCUGCUUGUUUGUACAUUUACUUUGGCCAAUGCACGGGGGCCUCCUGAGACUUGCGGUGUGCCCCGAUGAAGCCCGCGGCUGUGGGGCGGAUUGCUGAGGCCGCUGGCGCUUCGGGGAAAACAUCACAGACAGCACCGAAAAUCACCCAGCUUUCGUUACAUUUGCCGCACGGCAUUCCGACUUGCGUUCUCCGCACUGUCCAUGCGGCAUGCACCCGUAAUUGCCGGGUCAGGCAUGCACCCCGGAAUGCCGGGUCCAUUCCGGGUGCAUGCCCGGAAUGGAUGCGAUUCGCGUGGAGCCCGCAGACGUUGCUGACGAUUCCGCCGGUGCAAGCUUAGCUCUCACACCAUCAGCACUGCUGCAACAAAGCACAUCUCCCAACCGCGUUGACACUACCCAUCAAUGGUCACACUUGCCACCCUUGCUACCGGCCUGUACGGAUGCAGAGGGGCCCCGCCCUUUUUCCGGCUUCCUUGAAGCCGACACCCAACUUGUCUCUCCCUCCCUCUCCCUCCCUCUCCCUCCCUCUCCCUCUCCCUCUCUCCCUCUCCCUCCCGCUCCCUCCCUCUCCCGCUCCCUCCCUCUCCCUGUCCCUCCCUCCCUUUCCUCCCUCUCCCUCUCGCUCCUGGCAAUAGCACAGCAUCACGGCCUGCCCGGCCCCAUAGCUGCCGCUGCCCUACUACUACCCCCUCGGCCAGCUGCGCGCCGCAGCGUGCGGCUCUCAUUACCUUCUCCUCCGUCCUCCCUCCUCCAUGCUCGUCCUCCCUCAAUCGAUCACUCCUUUCUCCCGGAGGAUCAGCGCAGACUCUUCGCGGUUAGCAGGCUUGCGGCCAUUAAAAAACUGUGUGAAAACGGAUAAGGGGAAUCUAUCAUUAUCUUGACAACAAGGUUGAACGAAGCAAGGAACACGCGGUAGCUUUACGUAGUAGUAGUAGUAGUAGUAGUAGUAGUAGUAGUAGCUUAGCUGCGCAUGAGUGUGUGCGUGUGCGUGUGCGUGUGCGUGUGCAACUCGACGCACGGGGUUUUUAAGCACCACAGCUUCAAACCCCCCCGAUAGGUUUAGGCUCCGAUCCAAACUUACGGCCUUACCUGCAUCCAGUACCGCUGGCGCUUGUUAGAGAACCUUUUUGUGGUUUCAGGAGGGAGGGAUUACCAGCGACAAAAAAGGCAGAGGCAGGUAGAUGUUAAGACCUUUAGGAAGCAAGAAGCAAGGCAAUCAAGAGGACAACAUCCCUCUCCCACACGGCAGCACGAGUGGGUAACUAGCUACCGUACUGAUACGAUGAACUGGUGGUCCAAUUUGGUGAUUGGCGUCACAUCACCAAGCCGUAUUAGCCGUAUAAAUGAACGCAUGCUUUACGGGGGUGUCGUCACUAAUUGCCGUGCCGAACAAUACACCCACAUUUCCCUAAUCUUAGGGAAGAUUGGCAAAACACAUUUGAUUGGCACCUUCACCGGUACGGCAUUGGCCGUGCGCACCCUCGUUUCGGGCAGCGGGGCAGCAACCUCUUUCACUGAUUUCAGCCGAGAGAGUGUGAGAGAGCGGAGCCCGCUGCCGUGGGCCCAUUUCUGGAAAAUUACCACUAUACGAGACGCUUUGUUACUGAUAACCGGAAGCCUAGAGCAAUAAUAUAAAUGUGCCGGUACAAGCACUGGAUGGGGAUGCCGCAACACACGGCCUCUUAUAUACCCGCCAAAUCGUACGCUUCCCUUUCUGCGUCUCCGUUUGGGAGUUUGGGUGUCAGAAAGUAAUAGGCCGGCUGGUCGGCGAAGGGACUCCGGAAAACCAGCAGUAUGUACAGCGCGGAUAGGGGCCGCAGGCGUAAGUUUGCGUUAACUAAAAAAACGGUGGCGGUUUGCGUUAAUAAUAAAAACGGUGGCCGAUGUCAUGAAAACGUCCCCCGCCCCGCCCAACCAACUCAAAGCCGGCCCCUUUCAAAAAAGGUGAACCAGCACGUCCUUGGCGACCCUUGCGCCUUCGGCUCGUAUGGGUAGUUUUACAGGUAUGGGGUCACGCACCCCCAACCACGUAACACACACAAAAAAAGGUGAGGGCGGGUUCAUACUUUUAGGUCAAAUGAACUUCUUGGUUGUGUCUUACUCAUUAUGCAGCGCGUUCGUAUCAUAGAUUUCGUCUAUCAAAACCUGCCAAGCUCGCUCACUCCGACCUACCAGUCGGCAACCUGCGAGAGUGUGAGCCCGGUCUUGUCACGCAGCUCCUCGAUUUCCUUAUCCUGCAUGCCGGCACGCAGGGAAGCUUUUUUAUAUUUAAGAUAUUUACAAAUAGAGAUGCGUGCAUACGUCGUUCAUGUUUGUGUAUGUAUCAACGUAUACCGCGAUACUCACGAGGCAGACAGGGGCACGGCGGGCGAUGUCGUGCAGCAGUUAUGUUGAGAACUGGCAACAUCAGCAGCAGCAGGAGACCACACACACGCCGGGCAACGGCCGCGGCCAGGCAUACGUAUACGGCAAGGCAUAUACAUAUAGCAAAAUGCACAUGGCCAAUGAGAAGAAAUAGGCUUGUGCAAGUAUGUAUGACGGUACGUCGGUAUUUGGGCACGUCGGUAUGUCGGUAUAUCGGUAUGUCGGUAUAUGUAUGCCGCGGGAGAGCGGGCGAACGAAGGAAGCCCACUCACGCUCGGAAAAGGCCACACCAAGUUCGCCGUGUACCAGUUCAUAAGCAUGGUGUUGGCCGCCGUUGGUAGCAGCUUGAUAAGAAUUUAUGUGCAGUGGGGAUGUAUUUAUAUACACAAGUUCAGCCAAGUAGCUAAUUAGGUAGAUACGUCCAGCGGCUAUCGAUAGAUGGGCGGCUUGGUAGCAUACCUUGGGGGAUGUUUCCAUGGAUAGAAGAUGCAUGGUCAUUAAAUUAAACGACUAGUUCAGGGUACAAAGACAUCCGCAAGAGAGUCACCAACGUAGCUUAGGCGUCCUUAGACUGGAGCAACCUGAAUAAAAAUAGGUUCCAGCGCUGAAGAGGAACAGGACCAAUUAUCAUCGGCGCAUAAUGUAAUGGAAUGUUGUAGGAGAUCAUUAUCAGCGUGCUGUGUUGUAAGUAUAUAGUACGGGCGCCGCAGAGGCUUUCGCACCUGUGAAACGCUCGGUAGACGAAUCGCCGCCGCAGCUCGCGUUGAACCUAUUGUCCUCAAAUCAAGGCGGCGGGACUUUUGACCCAAUAUAUAGUAAUAUACAGUGUUGUACUAGCUUCCUGCACUGCUUCUAGCAUUUUCGGACCUUCAACAUGAGCGCCAUGCCACUCCAGUUUUCAUAUGAACAGUGUAAAGCCAAAGCAGCUGCUCGGAAAUCAGCUACUAUUUCAUCAAUCUACAAGUAAUCCAUAAGCGAAAUACUUUAAAAUUACAGGAAUUCAGUCCUCAUUAUUGCCACUGCUGGGAAGCCUGACGAUUCGACGCCUUCCCGUUUGACCGCCCAAAGGUUGCCCAAGGUACUCUGAUAGAAAUGGAACUUUUCCUAUACCAAGCAAAUUAUGAAAAGGAAACAUUUUUUGAAAAUAGCAUUGUCCAGCUUGGGAUGAACAUGCUUCCACCGUAUGAGAGGCCUGGUGAGGCUCUGCUCGCGCGUAGCUACCGCUGAAAGACGGACUGCCCUGCCCUUUUACACACACAUCACAACAAAGAUUAUGACGGCUCAAAUAGUAAGCGAGCAACGACAAGGAGAAAAAACCAACAUUCAACGCCAGUUUGCUGUAUCUAAGGCCAGCAGCUAAGGAUGUUGUGAAAACGACGUUGAACUGCGAAGAGACAUCUUGACAGCGUAUCAUGGUGUCCCUUACACAGGCCACCGCGGUAUUGACCGCACCAAACAAGCGAUCACACAAACAUAUUGGUGGCCAGGGCUUGACUCUGACGUUAAAGAACACGUCAAAACAUGCCCCCAAUGUCAGCGUAACAAAGCAACAAAUGCAAAGCCGGGUGGAUUACUGCAGCCCCUUCCCAUUCUAACGGAGGUGUGGGAAAGCGUGACAGUGGAUUUGGUUACACAGCUACCGACAACCCGCAAUGGGCACGAUGCGAUUGUAGUGUUCGUGGACCGGCUGAGCAAAAUGACGCACUUUGCUCCCACACACACAACCGCCACAGCUGAAGAUGUAGCCCGCCUCUUUGUGGCUACCGUCUUCAGGCAGCACGGCUUUACAAAGAACAUUAUUUCAGACCGGGACUCUCGCUUUCAUCGUAAUUUCUGGAAGGAAACAUUUCGCCUGUUGGGCGCCCACCUCAAUAUCAGCACAGCCUUUCACCCGCAAACAGACGGGCAAACGGAACGCAUGAAUCGCGUUCUGGAAGAGACACUCAGGCACUACAUCUCACCCACUCAAAAUGAUUGGGAUGAGCAUUUGCCACUGAUUGAGUUUGCCAUAACCAACUCAAAACAGCGAGCAACGGGGACAACCCCCUUGAAUGGUGGUCGGCAACCAAAAGUGUUCCGGUUGACCUUCACCUAAAAACCAAGGUGGUGCCUGCCGCACAGAAGCAAGAAGCGAUGCUUCACGAGCAUAAAAGCAAAGCUAAAAAGUUUCUCUUGGCUGCGCAACAAGACCAGAAGGAAGACGCCGACAUGCAUAGGCGUCCAGUGUGUUACGAGGUUGGGCAGAAAGUGCUGUUAAGUACCAAAAAUAUUACAUUAAAUUAAAAAACUCCUGGAACCUAAAAGCUGAUGCCCAAGUUCAUCGGCCCAUACACGGUUGUCGCUCGCGUGGGCAAAGCCGCGGUAAAACUGGACUUACUGGCGGCCUCCCGCCUACACCCGGUCUUUCAUGUCUCUUUGUUGAAAUUGAAAUGUUGAAAUUGUACAAAGAAGACGUAAAGCGACAGCCACCGGCGCCACUCGUCAUUGAGGGUGAGCCGUACUUUAUGGUCGAAGCCAUUGUCGACCAUCGUGAUGUUUCAGUCCGAGGGGGACGCGGGAAAGACAUGUCGAGAGUAUUUGAUUAAAUGGGAAGGUUACGACUCUAGUCAUAAUACCUAUGAACCAGAGGAAUCUCUUCGCCAGUCUACUCCCUUCUACCCCGAGAACGCUGAAUGCACACCAACUCGUACAAUCACCGAUUAGUCCACGUCUCUCGGAGAUCAGAUAAGGGGAGCAGCGAAGGCAACCAUUUCAAAAGGAAACUAUCGCUUUAUCUUUAUUACAUAGCUAUAAUCCAAACAUAGGCCCGCGGGUGUACCGUACUCUGAAAGUUCCGGUGAGACUAGAUGUGUAACGACGCAAAAGGCCCAUCUGAGCAUCCCGGGUUUCGCCUUUGCUGGGUUACAAGAUUUGUCGAGAGACAUGAGAUUGGAUGGCUGAUAGACUCCGCCUAGGAGCCCGAGAUUGGCGGACAGUCAUACUGAGCCUGAGACCUGGGGUUAGCUGACAGGCUGACGAACGUGCGUUGCAAUCUUUGUGGGUCUCGAAAACCCUGCUAGUCUCGUCAUAAGGCCCUUCUGCGUGUCUUUCAUAAUCAUUUUCUCUCAGGCUGACAUGUUUGUGCCUCUGGCGCAAAUGGUGGUGAGCACUCGCAUCUACUCAUGUUGUACCGGCCCUUCAUUCCAGCUGUGUCUUAUUACAAUUCCUGCGACUUGUGAUCGCCACCAGAUCACCACCGAUGACACAAGAAUAUGCAGUCUCAGGGCUAGCCUGUGACUUUAAACGCUUAUCUGCCUGUCCGAGCGCACGAAGCCACUGCUGUCACAGUCAGAAAUGUAUGUAGUGAAGCCACAGCCACCGAAUGUACUACGCACAUUAAUUAGUACACACAUCUACGCAAUAACGUCCUUUUUUUAUCCGUAAACAGCAUUAGUGAGGAUCUCCAGACGGAAGACAGGGUACAAGAAGGUUGAGAAAUCGGAACAGCGGUGGGGACCUGGGCAGAGUUGAUGCACCUGGGAUGUGAAAUGAUGCGUUUCCUGCGAAAGCCAUCGAGAGCCGUCUUACGUGGUGACGGCUGAUACUAAGCCGACGGCCAGAUAAAUGUUUUUUACAAAAAAACGUAAUUCCACUUACGGCGCAACCAUCGUGUGUACAUAGCGUGCGGUGUCACUUUCUGAGACUCUGGCCCAUGAACAUUUCCCCAUCUCCCCUCCCCUUUUCCACUCCACCACACCUUCACUCGCACACUCGCACGUCCACCGUGACGGCGCCAACACAAGCACCAGCUGUUCUCUGUCCCCUUGGGUCUUACACAUACUCGAUGAACUUUCAACCGUCAUUUACACUGAAACUUCGUUAGCUAGGUCCUCAAGGUGAUCUCACUAUGCCCCCAACGACCCGAUGCUCUCGCGUGUGUUCAGCGUUGCUUGGGCUCUCACACGCAGAUGACAUGUACCUCCAUCACAAUCGCCACAGGCCCUCCAGCGCACGAAAUAUGAGUAGCCUCAACAAGAAUUUGUACAAGAGCUGCAGUGGCUGCAGUUGCAGGAUAGGGUGGUGAUUUCCAUAGUCGCUUUCAGGGGGCUGUUGUGGGAACGAUUCCGAUGAGGCGCACUCGUUUAUCGAUUUAAAUUUCGGCGGGAGAUUGUUGGGAGUCCAUCGUACACUACAGGAAUUGGGAACCUUAUGCAAUCUCGCUCUUUUAAGUGUGGCGGAAGAAGAAACGCACGAUCUUGCAAGUUACAUAUACAUGCGAAAUUUUUUGUCCUUUCUUCUUCGUCUUCUUGAUGUGACGAUGUGACGAACACACACAUCACACGCGGCAACACACACACACACACACACACACACACACACACACUGUUGUAUCCUGUAAAGGUUUUCUGCAACGGUUUGGGCGCCGAAUCCUAACUGUCGGUGGUUAUCUCGUCCACUCCGAUUUACCGAACUUCAAUAUUAUUAACUAACACCCGUCAAUUCCGCGGUCGGUGAUUACAGGUUAAAACUAAUACUGCUAUUAGUUUAAUUGCGGCUACUGUUAGCUGCGGCGGCUAAAGCGACUACUGUUAGUCGUCCGCCACCUUAAUGCCGCACUGCUGCGGAAGUCCAUACCUGCGUAUGGGUGGGGGUUUUACCUGCGUAAAGCUGGGACCUGCGUCCCAGUUUCGUCUGACCGAGCGAGAGUAGUUCCUGCGAACUAUGGCUUCUGGAUACGGCGCCGCCCAAUCGUACUGGGGAUUCUUAUCGGCGCGAGGCCCAAGUGGAGUCACUGAUGACUAUUUAUUCAAGACACUUGUCUCAAUCGGUAUCUUUCGAUGCCCCCAUUAUGUGGUUGUGUCGUCUGAACUCUACAACAAAUCUGGUACGGACCAGUCUCAUUUCCGCUUCCGCACAUUUUCUUUCAAUUGGCACUAGUAUGAACUUUCUUUGUGAAGAGACUACGUCGGCCGAUUCGGAAGAUUUCGGUCCCUUGGCGACUUUUGCUGCUGACCUCGGCAAUGCGGUGAUGGCUGCCGCCGCAUCCGCGGGUUGGUAGAUUCGCCCUACGUUUUGUUGAAGUAAUCCUAGUUUUUCCUCCUCUAACUGUUUUUAGAUUUGCAGGCCCUCUCGUUGUAGCGGGUUCUGCUAUUCCUACCUCUGCUGCGAUCCCUCGCUUGCGCGAACUUGUGUACCUCUCCCGUGGUGCAUUGCAAGCAAUCGAGGCAGUCCAUCGCUGUGCUGAGGAAGUCUUACUUUUCGGUAGGGUUACCUUUGCUACCUCUUUUUACUUGGCUUUUCGGGUUGGGUCGCCUCGCCAUGUUGCCUGCCAACUCCGGAAACGCGCCUUUACCUGUCCUCGGGGAUGGUCAGCAGGGAGCUUUAAGUGUAGUUCCCCCUUCCUGGAACGUAGCGGAUGGGGUCAGGCGAAAUCGCUGGGGUCCGCCGGAUUUAGUCGCUGAGGGUUGUCCCGCGCGGACAGUCCCUAUCGCUGCCCCGGUGGUUCCUGUUAACCCUGUCGCUGCCCCAGUGCCUCACGUAGGACAGGAUCCCACGCCUGUCGCCGCUGUUCCGCCGCCGCCGUUGCUUGUAGCCUCCUCCGCACACGGCGCUGGCGGCGCAGAAAGGGCUCCUACGGCUGCUGCAUUCUUACCAGUGCAGGACGUUGAGGUACUUAGACUUUCCGUCCCAGUUCCUAGAUUAAACUUUUCUUCCGACCUUCGAUCUCGCGAGUUAGGUCGUGCUGCGGCAGAUAGUACGCGCGCGUUCGCCAGGGAUGCGAAGCAGUAUCUUCANNNNNNNNNNNNNNNNNNNNNNNNNNNNNNNNNNNNNNNNNNNNNNNNNNNNNNNNNNNNNNNNNNNNNNNNNNNNNNNNNNNNNNNNNNNNNNNNNNNNNNNNNNNNNNNNNNNNNNNNNNNNNNNNNNNNNNNNNNNNNNNNNNNNNNNNNNNNNNNNNNNNNNNNNNNNNNNNNNNNNNNNNNNNNNNNNNNNNNNNNNNNNNNNNNNNNNNNNNNNNNNNNNNNNNNNNNNNNNNNNNNNNNNNNNNNNNNNNNNNNNNNNNNNNNNNNNNNNNNNNNNNNNNNNNNNNNNNNNNNNNNNNNNNNNNNNNNNNNNNNNNNNNNNNNNNNNNNNNNNNNNNNNNNNNNNNNNNNNNNNNNNNNNNNNNNNNNNNNNNNNNNNNNNNNNNNNNNNNNNNNNNNNNNNNNNNNNNNNNNNNNNNNNNNNNNNNNNNNNNNNNNNNNNNNNNNNNNNNNNNNNNNNNNNNNNNNNNNUCGGUGAUUACAGGUUAAAACUAAUACUGCUAUUAGUUUAAUUGCGGCUACUGUUAGCUGCGGCGGCUAAAGCGACUACUGUUAGUCGUCCGCCACCUUAAUGCCGCACUGCUGCGGAAGUCCAUACCUGCGUAUGGGUGGGGGUUUUACCUGCGUAAAGCUGGGACCUGCGUCCCAGUUUCGUCUGACCGAGCGAGAGUAGUUCCUGCGAACUAUGGCUUCUGGAUACGGCGCCGCCCAAUCGUACUGGGGAUUCUUAUCGGCGCGAGGCCCAAGUGGAGUCACUGAUGACUAUUUAUUCAAGACACUUGUCUCAAUCGGUAUCUUUCGAUGCCCCCAUUAUGUGGUUGUGUCGUCUGAACUCUACAACACACACGCACAAUCAUACAUUCGCACACGCGUGCGAAAGGAACCAUCGACUGCCCCUGAGACGGUGACCAAAAUCGGCGGCAGACCGAGGCGCACUCCCGUCCUAACCUAGCCAGUGCAGCAGCUCCAUCACUCUCUUCGUCCCCUUAUCCUCAUAGUCCCCCACAGUAGCAGUACAGCCAGUCAGCCCAGCAAAGAGCGCCGCUAUGUAUAGUGGCCGUACGUCCACCCGCAUGCAGAAUGGAUGUACGGCCAGCACGCGCUUGUGCCGCCAGGCGGGUGCUGCUUCCCUCCGCCAGGCACCGACCCAUGGGUCACAGAUGCGUCGAAUUCGAAAGCGCAUUAAUGUCCCCGCCGUCCCCGCCUCGAUAUUGCGACAUUCGUUCACCACAAACACAAGCACACGAGUCCGACAACACAUGCAGAGACCACAAGAUGGGUCCCACACCGAAGGUUUGCAUGUUCCUGCCAAUAGCAUGUGCACCGUUGCCUUGCCCACAACAAGAUGACCAGGAUCAGGAAAACCUCAUCCCCUACACAUCCAUACAUGAUACACAUACAUACAUAUAUACAUACAUACACGUUAACAUCCUCCACCCCCACCAGGGGCGCGCAUCAUCACUCCGGGUUGCCACAUUCUCCACUGUCGCCUCUGCCGCACUAGCAGCAGCGUUGCAACAGCCGGGCCGCUGUGGCUGCUACUGCCGGCGACCCCCGGUCGCGGCGGCAGCGCCCUCCUCACUCGCUGCUACUGCAGCUGCUGCCGCCGCCUGCUCCUCCUUCGCCUUAGCGUUGUUUGCCUCCGCCUCCCGGAUACCUUGACGGAGACCCAACACUGUUACACCGCAGAGCAACCCACAAAACCACCACCGAAUGGCACACACAGCACAUGGAGUAGAAAAAGCAUCACCAUGUUUAGCACACAGCGUAAAGUAGUACGGUGUGCAGUACGACACAGAGCACACACGGCAGCAGGCCCCAGUGAUGCAGCACAAACCCUUUUCAAGAGAUUUGGGGGAACUUAAGAUUUGGGGAGAUUUGAGGUAGAUUUCAACAUUAAGCAGCCAGGGGGAAUGCGGACAAUACCGAUUGUGUAACAGUGGUGCACGGCGGCUCUCGGCUAACCAUUUCGUACAUUUCCCAUUUUCUUCAUGUACGAUUGAUGUACGAUUGAUGUAAAUUUAUGUUUCCUUGUUCAAGUCGAUACUCUUACCGAUGAACAGGUUGGUGAUGGUCAACAGACUUUCAGCCGCCCCGUGAAGCCAGUCCACAUUAGCCAAGCUGGUGCCGUAAUGGGACUUGGCUGUCGUACAUUCGUACGUUGCCGUACGAGUUAUGCAUGGCACCAGCGGCGAUUUCGGUGGGUGCCAGCAGCGUGACAUACGGUAAGAAGCGAAGAGAGGCGAUCAGUAGAGAUUGGGAUGAAGGAAUAAGCAAGAUGCUGAAGAUGAUGUACAGGAUAGCCUCACAUGGAACAAAUCGCAGAUAAGCCGAAGUCCAGAAUUGACCAAGUCAACGCUCCCAAGUGCUGCGGAAACUGCAAGUCAUCCGUACAGACGCUAAAACUGUGGUACUUUAUCAAUGAUAACUGUCACUGAAUUGUAUAGAGGUGGCGCUGAAAUCUAGAAACGAUCUAAAAACAGGCUGCAAACUACGUCUUUUGGUCAAAUUUUAGUUAUGAGGGACCCGCAGCCUUAUUUACGGGGCCUUAAGCCGAAUUUCGGCUGCGGGUGCUGCGAAGUACUGCGGACCCGCAGUACCCGCAGGAUUUGCCGACCACUGCUUGGAUCAUUGCUGCUGCGUGCAGCGCGGUGGUUUAUACACGAACAGGUCUUAGCUGGGAUCAGCAGUCUUCCUUCCUGCACCCAAACCUGGACAGCCAACCUUAAGCGGCAAAGGCGGGUGCAACGCUGGCUGGGCUGUUCGGGCCCGGACUUGUAAUUCCUCUUCGCGAACUUUUCCCCGUCCCCGUCCCCGUCGUGUUAUACAACGAAGCUUGCAGGCAGAGCUAUGCGGCAGCUGCGGGCUGACCGUCAAAAGCUAAAGGGAUUCCAUGCCCUGACAGCUAGCUAGCCUUAACCGCCGUGGUAGACGGAUGUAACAUGCUUGCACGGGAGGGAGUUAAACAGCAGUAAUAUGUAUGUUCAGGAGACGUGUUACUCCCUCUCACCAUAAAUUCCAGCCGGAAUGGUGGCUCCUACGAAAACCAGCAAGAAGUAAAAGCCGAAAAGGGUCAAACUUGGCGUCUUGCCCGACUUUGUCAGGAAGAAGAGGAAGCAUAGGUAUGGGAAGAGGCUCAUGGCGAAGAGCUGAGGCGCCAGCGACUGCAGACAUACGCCCAAUCCAAGAACUGAAUAAAGCUCAAGCUUGCUGGCUUACACACAUUCCCAAAGCAGCCUCACCGCUGCGUCGACGCUCGGUGCCCAGGCCUGAUCAAACGGAAAGACGUGCGUCGCCAUCGGCUGACGAUGCACCGGGGCUCUUUCCGCUAAUUGGAACGGCCUCCCGCCACCAGGCAUCAAUGCCAUUCGCCUCUUAUUACAUCUUACAGAUGAAUCGCGGACGAGCGGUCUUCUAUUUUGCUCUUGCCGAAAUGCGCAUUGCGGGCCUUGUCGGGGAAUGGUGGCACUCAACAUUUUCAAUAAAGCUACAUAUCAACAUUCCAAUCCGAUGAUAGUGAGUAUGCGCUUGAACGACCGGGAACCUCUCCCGUAGUUACAGGAGUACGACUGUAGCGUGGCGAGAUGGGAGCCAUGGACGCCGUCCAGCCCAUGGAGCUCUCCAGCUGUUCCUCAGAACAAUACCAGAACAUGAUCGGGGGUUUGCCAGAUGCGUGCUUCUCGAUAACUUGAUUGAACACGGAAUCCUGGUUCGCCGACGCCUGAAACUGCGCUAUAAUCGCCAUCCGCGCCUCUUGCGUUUUAGGAUCCACGACAAUGAUUAAAAUUUGACACUGGCCUCGGUAGAUAGUUAGGUUUUACUCAUCCGCGCUUAUCAGUGUUCCGGCAUUUGCGCCAUUCCGCGCAUGCAUUUCACCGCGCUGCUCAUCAAACAGGAUCGAACGUCAACAGCGCUAUGGUAGAGGGGUGAGGCUGCGUUUUGCAAUACUGCGAAGCGACGUCUGUUUGGAUAGCUCGUACCCAUCCCGGUGCCCAUUCCGCACAAGCCACACAUUCACACAUUCAGAAUUUGCUGCCGGAACAUAACAUGCCGCCUUUACCUGUAUUUUUUCUUACACAGCGUUCCAAACAUUGCAUCGACUGCUUCGCUUUCCUGCGACGCGCUGCGGCGCCAUGACGCCGAGGGCCCCUCAGGAGGAACCCGGGGUUCCUCCCUAUCCUAUCGCACCGAGGAACCCCUUCCUUGCCCUCACUCACUCACAAAACCCAAUCGCAGCCUCCCAUAACCCUACCACAUCCUCCACCCAUACUAAGGGGGAGAAGGAGACCUGAAUGUAUGUAUGUAUGUACGUCCCCCCAAUCCCGUUUUCCUCAAUAUUUCGCCCGCCCCACCAUCCCAUUUACACAUGUACGCAUACACCCACACACAUAAACUCAGGCACCAGUGCCAUCGGGUGGCGGCCGCCCACCGGCGGCUUCUUUUGGGACGAGCAUUCAUCGCUAGGUCCCCUAACGGUCGCUUCAGGGAUGGUAAGGCCGACAGUCGAAGAUGCUCCGAAACCCCAACGGAAAAAACCGUACCAAAUCUCAUUGCGCUCGAACCGAUUCAAUGCAAAUCGAGUCAACUCACAUAUCUCGCUUCGGACUUUCAGACGCGAUGGUGUCGUACACAUUACGUCAUAAUGACUUACGGACGCUUCCUGGGAUGUGGUUUCAUUCUCGUUUGUAUUUGGUUUUGGUAACGCAAACCGGAGAAAUGUCUCAACGAAAGGUUUUUUUAUUUAUCUAUCUUUUCCUGUGUGCUGGCUCCCCCCAUCGCAACACCAUUGUGGUACCAGCAGAGGACUUAAGGUCUUUUUACCGCCUCCUUUUCACCCCCUCCUUUUUACCCCCUUCUUUUUACCGCCUUCUUUUCACUGCCUCCUUUUUACCCCCUUCUUUUUACCGCCUUCUUUUCACCCCCUCCUUUUUACCGCCUUCUCUUUACCGCCAAAUGCUAUGACACCACAUCCACCCAGGUGCUGUCGCCAUAAACGCCAAACCCUUGCAACGCAUUGAAGUACACGGCAAGAAUCUCUUUUACUUCUUCUCCCACCAGCCAGUCCCCCUCACGGUCCAUCCCACCAGCAGUGCUUUCAUCGCCGCCAGCGGGACCCGAAACAUCCCUACGUCAGCAACUGCACAACCACCACAACCACUACCAUGGGCCCCACAGCGUCCAGCACAACUGUCAUCACAACUACUACAACUUACACAAACGUCGCCACUUUCUCCACGGCUUCCAACGGUAUCAACCGCAAUCCCCCUGCUGGAGGCGCUACAACCGAACAGCGAAACGCCGUUAAUGGAAAACCCGAAAACCGGCCCCAUCGAACCCAUCACUACAGCCACCGCUGUAACCACCGCUGUAGCCACCGCUACUGCUGAUGAUGAUGAUGGUAGUGAUGAUGAAGUUGAUGACGGGGGUUGUCGUACGGAUGAUGGCGAUGGUGGAGUGGUGGUUAUGCAUAUUCACUUCGGCAUGAGUGGUGCCUUCCGUACGAUGAGCCUUCCCGGACCCCCUCCCUCCGAAACCACACGAUUGGAGCUCAUUAACCGGGUAAUGUGUGCUGGGUUUUAAGGUUUCAGGGGUUUAGGGUCUCUGGCUUGAAGCCCCCUCUGUGUAAACUGCUGCAUUGCUCACCCACAAGCGAACAAGAUCACGUCUGCAGAACAUACGACCAUCGCCAACAUCACAGCUGCCUAUCCGGAGGCUCUGCUUCACAUAUCCUGGCUCCCCAUCAGAUGCAUCCAGCUGCCUCCCCUCACCAUUUCCCGCCCCCCCCCAUCCAGCUGCCUCCCCUCACUAUUUCCGGCCCCCCCCCCCGCCGCCUUCAAGAACGCCUUUUGGUCCGUUCUACUUCUGGUAUACUCUUGCCCUGGCAGCAGCUUCACUCGUUCGUGAUUCGUCUUCCCCCCCCCCCCCCCGGCCGGCCUUCCCCCUACUUUCCCCCCACUUUCCCCCACGUACCUGCACACACAUCAGGAGAUGGGUUUGGUGGCUCACCUAAGCGCCAUGACAGUGACCCACGGGUCACUAGAGCUCUACACCCGCAAGGCGGCGCAGCUUGGACCUGACCCGCUGCGGGAGGAUGCGGACAAGGAGGUUGGUACGGCGGUGUGCGUGUAUGUGUAUGUAUGUGUACGGACGAGCGCUUCAACGUUUGUGGGAAGCUGCAGGCUGAAGGACAUGAUUGCCAGCAGAGCUUCUACCACCAUAACUACCAUUACAACUGCCACCACAACAACUACCAUAACUACCACAACGACUACCGUAAUAGCACUAGGUACAGCAUACCGGAUUGGUUGCCCCUUGAACACCCCUUCAGCCUCGUCGCUGCACCCUAGGCCGGCCGCUUCACCGCCCAAGAAUAUAAUAUUAUUAAUAUAUAAUAAUAAUGUUGUUACAGAGUGGGAGGCUUCUGGGCCGCUUUAUCACAUUGUCAGUUCUACGAUUUAUCAUCUUAUAGCACCGUCCACCACUACCACACUAUACUUCGCCAUACGAACUGUAAGUCCAAGGCGGCGGGUCCAGCCGUCUAGGACCCCUCCUCAUCCAUUCACCCGAACAACCGAAGAGACGGAGGGUUCGGCAAUCACCACCAAUCCAGCGUGCAAAUCUGGUCCAUCAACUGCGACCUCAACUCCACAUCUCAGCAGCUAGCCAUAAUCUCGCGCUCCCGACUAAUUCGGGGGUCUCCCUAGGAAUCGAACCCAGGACCUUAAACCGCGAAUCGCAGUAGUGUCAACCCAGACCAGACCAAGAAUAUGACAUUACCCAAAUUCCAACCGCCAACCGACCCGUCGUACAGCAAAGGCACAACCACCUGAACGUCGCCCCUCCCCCUCCCCCCUACCUCGCAAU
RNAcentral lists this long non-coding RNA (58020 nucleotides) under Volvox carteri. RNAcentral's name for it is "long non-coding RNA (VCAR_LNC001899)". The record is from RNAcentral. Lineage: Eukaryota; Viridiplantae; Chlorophyta; Chlorophyceae; Chlamydomonadales; Volvocaceae.